UUUUUUUUUGUUUUUUCCCUAGUCUCUGGACUUAUUUCAAUAUAGUUUUGAUUUAUUACUUAAAUGCAUAGACAAUGGUAAAACAUAUUAUUAUAGUUGUUUUUUUCGUAAUAGUUGGAAAUAGACAUUACUCCCACUGGAUGGUAAGGCUGAGCUAUCUGACAUAUAUAGGCGAAAUUGGAAAGGGUUGAUUUGUGGUUGCUAUUCCCUCUUUGCUGCAAACAUUUCUUAGCCUGCAAAUAAAGCUACUAAUGUUGUCAGUUUACAUUCAUGAAUAUGUAAUUUACCUUGUUUAACUUAUGACUUAUUUCUCUCUUAUGUAGGUUGGGGAAUCCGUGAGGGAGAUAACAGAACAGAAAUAUUGAAUAACACAUGAGAAGAUUGUCCCAUUAUAUAUGCAAAUUCUUGUGUUGUUAAAACAUGUGAUUGUUUCUUUUCCUUUCUCCUAUAUAUUCUUGGCAACAAAUGUUAACUCUACUUGAGAAUUCAGUUUAGGUACUCAACUUUUCUUUUCAGUUUAGGCAACAAAUCUAUCUUUUGCACUGGAACUCAUGCAUGAUGGUGGGUUACUAAGUUUUAUUUCUUAGUUUCUCUUUUUGUAUCCCUUUUUCAAGCCACCAGAAUAUUUAGUGACAGGGAUAGAACUACAAGAGUAUUUUUUUCUAUUCAUUAAUUAUUUGAUAGUAUCCUACUCGAUAUCUUAGUGGAUGCAAUUUGUCAUAGUGUCAUGAACAAUUCUUUCAAGUGCAAGGCAAUUGCGUUCCUCCAUUCAUCUUCAAAAAUAGUAUUUUGUUUCUUUAUGACAAAUCUUUGACUAACAAUACAUAUAAUUCUUUGACACAAAUCGAUGUAAUUAUAUUCUUAUUUAAAUAAUACUCACUUAUGAUUAUAAGUUUUGUAUUAGAUAAAUGACAUAAUAAUGGUGUACUUGUCAGUCAAAUCUUUGUCCUAAAGAAACAAAAUACGUCUUAUAGUUUGUAAUGAUGAACGGAGGGUAGAUAGUAAGAUAUUGUAGAUAUGUAACUAGCCACUACUUCAAUUUUUAUUGGCAUCACAUGUGAGUGACCUAUGUGAUAAAGGCGACUAGUAGGAAGUAGCUUCAAAAAUCUUCUAUGCAACCAUUGUACUAUGCAUGAUGCAUCUACCAUGAAGCUUUAUCACAACACACGUGUACCAUAUUGAAAUCAUUGUUGUCCUAAUUAAAAAUUAUGCAAGUGAUAUCAAAUUAGAUCCCAAAUGUAUAAUAUCUGAUUAGUUUUUGCUUUAUAAUUGUGCUUAAUCAUACAAAAAAAUGGUCAUGAUAAACAGUUUUUUAACCAUUAUCUUAAAGGGUUACCAUAUACAAUUCAACUACCUACCGUAAAGUGAUAUUUUACAGUUUUCAAAGGAAGACCGUCUAUCAUUUGUAUGGCGCACAAAACAAAUAGCAUUAUGUUAACUAUCAAAUUUAAAAAAGAAGAAGAAGAAAGCCAUGACCAAUGCAUGCUUAAUAUUAUCUAAAUAUCUAAACUUGGAAGAAGCCUACCUCCUCCUCCUCUAGGACUGCCGGCCAUUGAAGCUAGCUCUGGAACCCAGAAUCCCUAACCAUAAUCCCGCCGACCUCGACCACCACCCUAGCCAGCGGUGACCUUGCUGCUGGCCGCUCCCCCUACCUCCCGCCCACUCCACUAGAUGACUCCUCGGCGGCACAGGAGGCAGCGGCGGCGCGGGCGCUGAGAAGAGGAACAAAGGAAGAGAAGGGGAUCGGAUGGUCUCUAGCUCGCGUACGCAUCUUAAAGCGGUAGAAGUCAAAUAACUAUCUAGCUUCCGAAAGCCAGAUAGGAAUACCGCUUUCUCCCCACUUUGGGCAAUUGGGCCCACUCUUGUGCUUCCACCCGAUCCAUCGCUCUGGCUAGAGCUGGAGACCCUUUGCCUUCCACCAUGGCCUUCCUUGACCUGAGCCAUCGCCAGAAGCCAGAGGAGACCAUUUGGGACCCCAUCUACCUAUGCUGAAACGAUCUGGGCAACUCCUACAAGGCUACAACGAUUGCCCUCUUUCAAUUCAGUGUUGAUAUGCCCAUGUUGCCAAAAACCCGAACUUCCAGGUCUUACGCACUAAAGUUGGUGGACUUGGCCUUGCAAUUUUGUCAAAACAAAACAGAACAUGCAGUUCCAAUUGAUAUGGGGAGAAAGGCCAUUUCGGAUGAUAUUUUUGGAUGGCUGCUGCAGAAAACUGUAGAACUGGACAAGUUCCUCUCACUGAAGUCAUCAACUAUAUCAAAGAUAGCUAGUUUCUUUAUUUAUUAUUUGAUAAAACAUUUGGCUAUAUAUAGCUGUUGUUGCCUGGCUGUUGAGGUACAUUCAUCAUCAGUUGAACUGUGUUCAGGGGUGUUUUUCUCGUAUAAUUAUUUGUGGAUGGAAGCAAAUCAUGUUGUAAAUUUGAGUGAUACUCGAAUUCAAAAUUCGUUCUUGAUACAAGGUUUAUGACUGAUGUCGUGAUGCACAUGUGUGGCCCUGUUUGGAUCCAUUAGUGCUAAUAGUUAGCAGCUAAUAUUAGUACUAAUUAAUGGAUUCAAAUAGGGCCUUACUAUUCGGCUAUGGUCCUGUUAAGUUGCAGAUGAUUAUGAUGGUAAGCGCUGCUUAGCUGAAUUACUGUAGCGUCUAAAUGGUACUGAUGCAAAGUUACAUACAUUCUUUGUUAUUUUGUGUUUUAGAAUUACAGACAUUCUUGUACUCCUCAAACUCCAUUUAGCUAUUUCAUUGGACAAUUGCUUGAACACAGGCUCUUUUAGAAUUGAUGUCAUUCACAGGAGAAGAUGGGAAGCUUGCUUGAAGAGUGGAGAAUCACAGGAGAAAAUGGGUAACGUGCACUCGCGCAGUGAGAACUGAGAAGCAUGGCCUUCUAUGUCCCUUUUUUUUGGGACAGCCUAUAUACUGUGGGCUGGGCUGGGAUUGCCAAGUAUCAAAGCUAGGCCUUUAAAGAUUGCAGCCCAUGGUGCAUUUGUACUCCUUUUAUUCGACAUACUCUCUCCGUUCAAAAAAAUAUCAUUCUAUGAAUUUUAAAAUAAGAAGGGAGAAUGAUCUUGUGUACCCCUAUUUAUUAGCUAUAUUUGGCGCUAAUUGAUAUCCGCAUGCGCAUACCAAAUAGGGUAAAACGACCUAUUUUUGGAUAAAUUUUGAAUCAUAGAAUGACAUGUUUUUUUGACGGAGGAAGUAAAAUUUUUUCCCUCGUGAAAUUAAAUGUGCUAUCUAUAUUUAGUGUGAUAAAUUGUCCAUUGCUGAUCCAAACUUAAAUUUCUUGCAACCACUAGUAGAGAAUUGGCCUUUAGUCCCGGUUGGUAGGGUGCAAAUUUCCCGAAAAUCCAUCCGGGAUAAACCAACCGGGACAAAAGGGGGGGUCUUUUGUCCCGGGUCACUCACCACGGCAGGUGCUGCAAAAAAAAAAAAGAAAUCCUAGGCUCCCAUUUCGCGCGUGCGCGCUGCGUAGGAUUCGAACCCAAAACUUCCAGCCUCACGCGUAGCUUCCUUGCCAUCCCACCUACACACCACAUCUGACUAUAUAGGGGAUGCUAUCCUUUUUGUAUUAACUCGUGGGGGACCCUUUUAUCCCGGUUGGAAACACCAAUCGGGAUAAAAGACCCCCUUUUAUCCCGGUUGGUAUUACAAACCGGGAUAAAAGGGUUCAAGGAAUUUAGCCCUCUUUCAGUCACCUCGUUGGGGACCCUUUUAUCCCGUUUGAAACACCAACCGGGAUAAAUGACCCCCUUUUAUCCCGGUUGGUAUUACAAACCGGGAUAAAAGGGUUGAGGCUCUCAACCCUUAGCCUCACACCAACCGGGAUAAAGGGGGGGUCUUUUAUCCCGGUUGGUGUUUCAAACCGGGAUAAAAGGCCUCUCAGAGUCUUUUUUUCCCACUAACCUUUGCAACCGGGAUAAAAGGUCCCAGUUGGUGAGCCCCCCCCACCAGUGAUCGAGCUUUAGUCCCGGUUGGUGAACCUUUUGUCCCGGGCCAACUUUAAACCGGAACAAAAGGGGGCGCAUCGAAAGCAAUUCUUUACUUAGUGAACUAAGCUAAGGACAAAGACUUCCGUUCAAAAAAAAAGACAAAGACUUAACUGAUGGAGCAACUAGAGGUGCUUAUAAGGCACUGUAUCUGCUUGCAACUUUGCACUAGAUCGAGAUUUUUACAUCAGCUGCUUCACCUUUUUAUUUGUGUUUCUUUCUACUACUGCAACCGAGUUGGUUUAUGGUAGACUGGUAUCAACGGUAACAGGUGAACAUUCCAGCUACAAGAUUUAAAUUAUAGAAGCUUGGGCGUUUAAUUUGGCCCAUGCGCUAGUUGUCAGAAGAGAGGGGAUCCAAUAUCGUCAAGUCAAACAGUGAGUACAGACCAUCUGAAAACAUCAAUAUAAUCUUGAUGACACGCGCUGUGAAGAAAUUAAGCAGUAAUGCUAAUGCAUGCAUGAAUUCGGCGACAAUACAGGUACUACAUAAUGCUGAGAAUGCUCCGUUCCCUAAGAGUGUAGUAACAGGUAAUUUACCAGCGGUACGGUCGUUACAAAAGUCUUAAAACGUAAUGGCCAAUUUAUCGCGGUAAUUCGUAUUUAAAGGCGCGCAAGUGCAAACCAGCAACUCAUACCACAGCAUAUGCCAGAAAUUCAUUUUCAAAACGAGAGAGAGAAAUGCUUCAAAAAAACGAGAGAGAGAGAGAGAGAGAGAGAGAGAGAGAGAGAGAGAGAGAGAGAGAGAGAGAGAGAGAGAGAGAGAGAGAGAGAGAGAGAGAGAGAGAGAGAGAGAGAGAGAGUUUUCAGAAGCGUCGCGCCAGCCAAGCUGAGGUCCAUGAACCGCGGAGAGGGUGGUGAGAAGGCCAUGGUGGAGAAGGGGAGCAUGUGCAGGAGCUAGCACAUUGGAGCAAGAAGCAAGCUUCCUCGCUCGCUUACUUUCGACCGGCCACACGCAGGUGCGCGUGAGUCCGCCGGCCGUGCUCCGGCGUGUCUCUACCUGCACGUGCCCUGCUUCUCCAACAGGGACCUUCUCACCAAGCACAAGAACGACACCGGCCGGCGUCAAGAGCUAAGCAAGGCCUCAACUACACUUCACUGUAUCUACUAGCAGCUAGCUUCAGAGAAUGAAUGUGAAUGGGAAGAUGCAGUGGAGAAUGUAUGCUGGUGGUGUGGGUUUAUAUAGGCGCGAAGCCGAGACCGCCGGCCGGCCUGGACAUAAACCAACCACACACACACACACAAACACGGGCAGGUGGUAGAGUCUUGAGCUGGGUUUGCGUGAGAAAGCGUGCGCCCAUCGAGUGCGGUGUGCAAGGUGCGACGCAAUGGCAAUGCCGCUAUGGGAGCGAGAGAUGGGAGUAGGUUACGGCCGGGGGCUCCCUUAGAUGUGACAGCAGUCAGUUUUUUUUUAUGGCCAUCUGUGACAUCAUGGCUCGCUUAUAAUAUUGCUAGUUUCAUGUCUGUUACGACAUUAAAAAAAACAGAGAAUAGAGAGUUGUGUCUAGCUUGCACCGGGUGUUUGGAAUUGCAGGUGAAAUGGGGAGCCCAAAAUUUGAGUGCCGUGGGAGUUUCAUAGAGAUUUCAUGCACGUUAAAUAUGGUGACAUAUCCAUAUAUGUAAUGACAUGGCAACACAAUUAUAAAGAGAGAGAGGUAAUGAGUUUUAUCGAGUUGUAUAUGCAUUGUUUCCAGUACUAUGAAUCCUGAUGAAACUGGCAUUGGGGGUCAAAGAGUUUCAUUUUAUCUGACCAUAUCCAAUCACAUGCCUUGCAAUUCACUACUAAAAAAAUAGUUUUCAUGGACGAUUGAAAUGACAAUUGAACGAGCGGGUGCGGUACCCGCUCCUGCUUUUUGCAGCUAGAAAUAUUUCUUUGCAAGAGCGGGUAAAACAUCCACCCUGGAAAACAAUUUCAUGGGGCGGGUGAGGGGUGACCCGCCCUUGGAAACCCCAUUUGCAGGGUGGGUAACCCCGUCACCCACCCCUAGUAACCGAUUAAACAAAAGAAAGAAAAAGAAAAAAGAAAAUGAAAAAAAGGAAAUUGGAGUGCCAGUUGCCGGGGCCACGCUGGCCAGCCUUGUCGCUAUGGUCGGGGUUGCCCGCGCAGGCCGUCCCCACCAUGGAGGUGGAGCCGCCUGCGGCGGCCAACCUCGUCGGGUCCGCUGCCGGGGUUGAGCCAGCCGGCCACUCGCGCCGCUGGGGCACAUGGCUCGCUCUGCCGGGUCCCGCCGGCUGCCUCUGCCGCAAGGGUCGAGGCUAGGGUGACUGCCACGCCGACCGCCUCCGCCGCGGGGACCGGUGCUGAGGGGGCUGCGUUGGCCGCCGGGGCUCCUCCGCGUGGGCACGCCGGAGAGGUAGGAGAGAGGAGAGAGAGGAGAUAGGGCCGCGAGUGAGAGGAGAGGUAGGAGAGAAGAGGGAGAGGGAGGAGAUAAGGUUGACUGGUUGAGAAGGAAGGGUGGGAGGAGAGUUUGGCCAAUAGGAAUGCUUAGUUUCGGAGUUGUGGAUCGAUGAUGUGGCAAAUGUAUUUCUUCUCUAAACUUAUAAUACAUUUUUGGACCACUAAACAAUCUUAAUGAAAAAGUUCUCAACUAAAAAUUUUUCUUACUGAAAAAGUUCUCAACUGCAAUUUUUAAAAUCUCAUCGAGCUCUACAAUUUUAAUAUAAAGUUUGUAUUCAUCUGAGAUUGUAUGCAAAAGUUUGUAUUCAAAAAAUACAACCUUUAAACUUAAUCCUUCCAAUCCUUAGCAUCAAAUGAAAAACUUGUACGUUUGUGUUGUUGUCAAGAUUAACGGAUCAAGACUACAGCUAGAAAAUUUUCUUUUACGCGCGUAAGGCCUCGGAUGGUGGCGUAGGGAGACACGAGGUUAGACUGGUUUGGGUGAGGAAAGCCCUACGUCCAGUAUGAGGAGCUGCUCGUGUUACCCACGCGGGGUCUGUAGUAGGGGUUACAAACGGGCGAGAGAGGGAGCCGGUCCUAAGUCUCUUGGGUGUGCACUGAUGCUCGUUAGGUGAGUGUGUGGGUUCUGUUGGCUUGAGAGUCCUCCCGGUCUCAGGGCCCCUGGUUCUCCUUUUAUAGCGCAAGGAGGGUUCAGGGUUACAGGCGAGACUGGGUGUUAGGAGAAGUAAAAGAGAUAAGCUAAGUGAAGUAAAGUACAAGGAGAAGGACCAAGUUCCCGAGUCGCCGCCUCCUGCUCCGGCCUUCGACUCCUGUCAGCGCAGCCACCGGAGGAGGGUGGCUGCCGCCGGAUCCUGUCGCCGAUCCUCCAGGCGACCGUCGCCGCCGGGCAUGAUGAUGGUGUCCGGUCGUGGUAACUGUGCACGUUGGGGGAGACGGCUGACCCCUGUUGUCUUGCUUACAUCCCGUGGAACACGGAUGUCACGUCCCUGUCGCCGGAUACGCUGGGCACGAGAACGGGCAGCGCUCCCUCCUGUGUCGGGCGACGCAUGCUAUGAGUGCCCUAUGGCGAAUCAGGGGGAGCCGUGCCCACUGUAGCCUGUGCGGUCGUGGCUACAGUGUUCCGCCCGGUUACUUGUGGCGGGUCAUGUCGUGGGGUGCGGGCGCCUUUCUGCGCGCCAGAGCCAUGGCGCAUUUAUGGCAAGAUCGGUGGGGGACCCACGAGAUCCGCGCCCUCGUCUGCCGGCCUACGCCCGAGGUGGACCAUUGUAUUGUGGGCCCGAAUGAGUCCGACCCCCUACGCCUAGGGUCAGGCGAGGCGGAGCCUUGCAGCAAGGGGUCAGGCGCACCCAACCCUGGGACCGUGGGUCGGGCGAGGCAGAGUUUCGCCAUCGAGGGGUCGGGAGUGUCCGACCCAGGGCCCUGGGUUGGGCGAGACGGAGAGGGAUGUUCCCUGUCCAUGCUGGGUCUGCGGUAAUCAUCGUUACCGCAGGUGGGCCUGGGCCUUCAUGAUUGUUGUUUUAAGGGGCAUUAGCAAGUCGUUAACGUUUCCCCCCAACAGUAGCCCCCGAGCCUGUGGUGGAGCAAGGAUGCUCCUCCAGAGGCUGCUUUCGUCGUUCAUCGGGGAUCUUUACUUGCCCUUCGAGCUGCAGUUAAUCAGAGAUAGGGAGUGUUGUUUGCUCAGCUUGGCUGGGGAGAUUGAUCAGGCGAGAUGUCCUGUGGAUGGCUUGGCGUGGGAGGAUUUCUUAUUGUUCCGUAGGGCACUCUCGCCUCGAGACUUCAAAUCGCGACCAUCCGCGUGGUCAUUGGUGCGAUGCUAGCCCCCGAGCCCCCGCGCGUUGCAGGAGACCGAUCAGGAGGCUAGGUCGACUUUUGAUCGUUACCCCUCAAGCGUCCGUUCGCUGAGAUGGAGGGGGUGAGCCGUGCCAUGCUAUUCUCGCCGGACGAACCGUGGUCCUCGUUGAGCUGGAAACGGGUUGAUUCGAGUGGGGUCCCGAUCCCCGUUCGGGGGGGGGGGGGGGUCCGGCUUGGGCCAAGCUAGUGGCGUACCCCAGAUUCCGUCCGGCCAGUUCAUAUAGUUCCUGAGUCUGUUCGAUCGGAUACGGGGGCUCGUUGCCUUUCUUUGGGGAAAACCCAUGAACUUUGAUGCCAGUUCGGACUCGAACGUGAGGUCGGGAUGCCCUAGACUGUCAUGCGCCCGGGUGAUGGCCGCUAGCGGACCCGUCCCUUCUCACCCCUCGCUCGGGGUUAUCCUGGGGUGGUUGUUGAACCUGUAGUGGGCCAGCCUUCGAACCCCUGGACUGUAAUGGGCCGUAGGGGCGUUUUCGGCCCCAUAUCCCUUUCUUACCUAUUGGUGGGCCCUAGGCUGGACGUGGAGGAGGUUGUGCGCGUGCGUUCUCCGGGAGGCGAAGUGGGGGAAGAUGUUGGCCCGCAAAACAAGGGAGGAGGGGAUGUUUUCCUGCAGCAGGUCGUGCGCACGACUUCCCAAAAAGGUGGGCGUGACGGGGUGUACCUGGCGCUGCAUUUACUGCGAUGGGCCCACCUAUUCCGCUUCCCACGCGCCUCCCUAUAAGACGGGGGGUCUGCCUCGCCGAUUCUGCCCACACCUGUUCUCAAACUUUUUCGCCUUCUCGCGCGCCCUUUGCCUUCUUGCGUGCUGUUCGCCUUCCUCAGCCUAGCGCAGCAGCUUCCCUCGCCCUCUGCCGUCGAACCUUUCUCCCCUUCACGAUGGAGUCCUGGACGCGCUCAAGCUUCGGUACCUCGCGCGCCGACGACCUCAUGAGGAAAGGCCUCCUCUGCGAGAGGACCAAGGGAGACGAAUAGUGGUUCCCCGAGAGGGAAGAUGUGCCGAAUCCACCCGCCGGCUACGUCGUUUCGUUUGCCCGCUUCCACGAGAGGGGGUUCGCGACCCCGCCGAGCCGCUGCUUCCGCGGGCUACUGCACUACUACGGGCUCGAGCUGCAACAUCUCAAUCCCAAUGGGAUCCAACACAUCGUGGCGUUCAUCGCGUUUUGCGAGGGGUUCCUGGGCAUCGAGCCCAACUUCUCGCUCUGGAAGUACUUCUUCGCAGUCAGCUUGUACCAGAGGGUCGAGAAGAAGGGGAGCCAGCAGCGAGCGACUCCGGUGCCGAUAGGGUGCACCGCCAUCCACCUCCGCCAGAACCGUGCCAAGGAGUAUAUGGCGAUAAAGACCGCGGCGUCCCACAAGGGGUGGCAUCAGCAGUGGUUCUACGUGAAGAACUACUCCAAUUCCCCCUUGCCGACGUUCACGGGCCGCGUCAUCAAAGCGGUGCUGGAGCUAUGGUCGUACGGCCCGGUUGAAAAGGAGAAGAAGCGGAUCACCGGUCUGCUUCAGGCCAUCGAGCACCUAAAGGGAAAGGGCCUGACCGGGGCUGGAGUCAUCGGGGCAUACCACGCUCGGAGGGUGGCGUCACUGAUGCUCCGGGUUCGCUCACUCGCCGACAUGGUUCCCGGCGUGCCGACCGAGGGCACCGUUCUUGCGAUGGGCGCGCUCGCUGACACUGAGAUCCGGCAGCGAGUUGAGGAGGCACUGGACGACAAGGACGUCGAUUGUUCGGUGCCCGGUCACCCCCCGAUGCGCCCGGAUGAGAAUUUCGUCGAGCUGGUGAGGACUUCGCGCUCCCAUCUCUCUCUCCUGCAUUUCUUGGUUCGUUGCUCUGACACAGAGUUUUCGUAUCCGCAGGGCCACAUGACCCAAGUCGUGGACUCGCGCCCGUCGGUGCCAGAGGACGCGGAGCGGCGUCAGCAGAACCGCCUCUUCACCGAGAAGCAGAAGAGGCGUAAGGACAAGGAGACAGCGAAGAAGAAGAAGAAGGCUACCAAGGAGCUUCAACGGUGGCAGCGGGGCAGGGUCGUGUCGGACGACGACGACGAUGACGAUGAGGAUGAGAAGGAGGAGGAGGAGGAGGAGGAGUAUAUUCUGGCCCCCCAGCCGGGCGCACUCGUUAUCCGGGAGCAGCACUCCCAAACGGCCGCGAGGGACAAGGCGAGCGGACCGCCUGCCCAGGACCCGACCCCGCAAGGCUCUGGAGCCGCGCCCCCGGGGUCAGCGCGGGGCGUGCCUUGGGAGUCGACGGAGCCGACCCCCGACCCUCUGCCUGCAUCCCGCGAGCAGAGGAGUAGCGGCAAGCGGCCGCUGCUAGAUGCCUCGGGGUCGGCGUCGAGCUCAGAGGCGAAACACGCCCGUUGUCCUCGCGCUGAGGGAGUGUAAGUGGAAAUUCCUUGCGCAUCUUAUUUCUGCCCCGGCAUCGAGCCGUUUUUGAUGAUGUUGUUUGUUGUUUCACAGCGCCGCCCCUCCGGACUUCGUCCCGCCGCUGGCACCGAAGAAGGUGUUGCGGGUGUCGUCCACCUCCACGGGGCGAGCCGCGACCCCGUCGGCGGCGAGCGACGGUGUCGCCGGGGAGACUGCGGAGCCUACCGCGGAGGCGGCCCCUACGGCGGCAACCGGAGGAAGGGUGCCGCAGCCGGGCUCAAGGAAGGGUCCGACCCCUGCUCCGCCUUCUGCCUCCGCGGCUGACCCUGCGGGACAAGGUGUUGCCCCUGGGGUGCCGCCGACCGGCGAGGUGAUAGACCUCGACGACGAGGCGGAGGAGGAGCCCGUGGCUCCAGCGGCAACGGCGGCAGCGGAGAUGAGGGCAGUUGCCCCAGUGACCGCGACGGAGACGGCGGCAACAGCGGAGGAGGGAACGUCUGCCCCCGCGGUGGCGAUGAGGACAGCGGCGGCGGUGGAGGCGGGGACACCUACUCCAGCGGCUGCGACGGAGACGCCGGUGGUGGCGGGGGCAGGGACGCCUACUCUAGCAGCCGCGACGGAGGUGGGGACGCCUACCCCAGCGGCCACGACGGGGGCCGCGACGGCGGCGAGAAUGGGAACGCCCGCUCCGGCAGCCGCGACGGAGACAGUGACGCAUGUGCCAGGGCCAUCGACGAGACCGACGGCAUUAGGGGUGGUGGCGCCUGCCCCGACGGCGACGUCGGGCUCGGCCAGAGCGGCUCCCACCCUUAUCCCGGUUAAUCCCAUCCCGAAGGCGUGGGGUGGGCCUAACCUGCGCUGGAGGUCAUGCGAUGACCCGCAGAGACCCCUCUUCGUGCUGGACGACGCCAAGGAGUGGGGCAAGUGGCAUGCGGUGCAGGGCGGGCUUGCGAAUGUCUGCGCUGCCCUGUCUUCUGCGAUGGGGGAGCUGGACGGCGUCGUCGUCCCCGGUGGCCAGGUGCGGUGUUUUCCCUGAUGGUUGUUUUCCUCUCGUUCCUCCGUUGCUGAGCAUAAUUUGUUUUAUAGGCCCUCCAGGAAUGCAGCUAGGGGAAAUCCGAUUUCCUCUGGCUCGAGCGGGGGCUCUGGGAUCGCUUCUCCGUGGAGAGGCAGCAGACCGGGGAGCUGACCGCGCAGGUCGCCGCCGCUCAGCAGGUCAUCACCGACUUGCGCAAGCGCGAGCAGGCAGCGCGGGAGGACGCGCGGCGGGCGGAGGACAAGUUCCAGGCUGUCGUCGAGAAGGCUCGCCUCGAUCUCAAGGAGUUCUAGGCUGCUGCCGAGAAGGCCCGCCACAAUGCCGAGGAGCUCGCACGGCUGAAGGGGGACUACGAGGCCCUUCAGAAAACCGUCGAGCGUAUCCAGCACGAGCGGCAGAAGGCUUGGCAGGAGCGGGGCUCCGAGGCGAUCUGGAAGGCUGAGGCCGAGAAGAUAGCGACCGAGCUUGGGGCGGAGGUCAGUCAGCUCCACGUGUGAGUGCAGGGGCUUCAGACCGUCGUGGCCCACGGGCUCGACCGGGAGCGUGAGCUAAAGGCUCAAUCCGAGAGUAAGGCUCUUCUCAUUUCUUUGCUUUUGCGGUGUUGCGAUGGUUUCUGACUUGGUGGACUUUUGUGGAUGGACCUUACAGAUGACCUCGCCCGGUUGAGGGAGAUCCUCGAAGCAAAGCGCGCUGAGCAUGGCAACCUGCGGGACGCGGUCCGCGUUGUCUGCGAUGGCCUCGGCGUGGUCCAGGGGAGGGGACGAGUUCGUUGGCGGCUCGUGUCCUUGGGGCGUACCGACGGGCCUGUGAGAUCGCUCGGGAGGCACUUCACGUCGGCGUGAGGCAAGCCUUCAGCGUCUUUGGCUCCCACUACUCCUUAAUCAACUUCGCUGGGAUGAGCGGGUAUGCCUCCGGCUACUCCAAGGCCGAGCUGGACGAGAUCGACGCAUCGGUGCUCAACCCAGCGGAGGCCUUGGCGAAGCUUCUGGAGGAUGAGGCCAUCCCGUCGGAGGACCUGGGGACGAGUUAGCUGCGUCGGGCUUAGAUGCCCCAGAAUAUGUAAAUAUGUUAGUCAACUUUGAACUUGAUUUUGUGAUGGCCGCAGAGGCCUUUUCUAGAACUUGUUGAAAAAAGUUUUCGAUCCUCUUUCUUGUUUUUUGGGUUUGGAAAGUUUAGAGUGUGGGUCGGGCGCGUCAGUAAGCGUUGAUGAGCGAAGGCACCGUAGCCGCUGGGGCGUAGGUUUUUCGCAGUCCGAUCAGUCUUGCCUGAGCGUUGUUCUUGCACUCUUUCCUUUUCACGCCCAAACGUUUUAGGAAGAGAAUCGGCUCGGAGAAAUGGUGUUUUGAGAAUACGUUAAGUGACUUGGGCCGGAGCCCCUGAUAGCCCCCGAGGGAUAUGCGACCCUGGGGCAGAGCCAAGGUCGGAUAUCCCUGAGUUUGGCACGAAACUUGAACGGGAUCGACUCAAAACUGCCCUUUUCCGUGAAUUAACAAGUUACAAAAGUAUGUAUGUACAAGCUUGGAAACAAUAACUAAGGGUAGAAGUGUCUUAGCUGCUCUAUGUUCCAAGCGUUGGUGAAGAUCUGCCCGUCGGGGGUCGCCAGCUUGUACGUGCCUGGUCACAGUACUUGCGCGAUGAUGAAGGGACCUUCCCAUGGAGGGGUCAGCUUGUGCCGGCCUCGGUUGUCCUGGACGAGGCGAAGCACCAGGUCACCGACGUUGAAGGCUCGACCUCGUACCUUGCGGCUGUUGUAUCGUCGUAAGGCCUGCUAGUACUUGGCUGAGUGCAGCAGGGCUACAUUGCGCGCUUCGUCGAGCUGGUCUUGCAUGUCCUCAAGUGAUGCCUGAUUCCCUUGCUCAUCGUACGCCUUGACCCUCAGCGACCCGUACUCCAGGUCUGUGGGGAGGAUUGCCUCGAACUCGUAGAAAAUGAAGAACGGGGUAAAGCUCGUCGCCCUACUGGGGGUCGUCCUUAGACUCCAUAGGACCGCAGGGAGCUCCGUGACCCACCGGCCGCUGAACUUCUUGAGGCGGUCGAAGAUCCGUAGCUUGAGACCCUGGAGUAUCAUGCCGUUAGCCCGCUCGACCUGCCCGUUCGUGCGGGGGUGUGCCACGGCCGACCAGUCCACUCGGAUGUGGUGGUCGUCGCAGAACUUGAGGAACUUGUUCCCAGUGAACUGCGUGCCGUUGUCCGUGAUGAUGGAGUUGGGGACUCCGAAGCGAUGGAUGAUGUCAGUGAAGAAUUGUACCGCCUGCUUGGAUUUGAUCUGCGUGACAGGUCAUGCCUCGAUCCACUUUGAGAACUUGUCGAUGGCAACAAGCAAGUGGGUGAAGCCCCCGGGCGUCUUCUUGAAGGGUCCGACGAGGUCUAGUCCCCAGACCGUGAAGGGCCAUGUGAUGGGGAUGGUCUGGAGCGCCUGGGCGGGCAGAUGGGUUUGGUGCGCGAACAAUUGGCACCCCUCGUAGGUGCGCACCACGUGGGUGGCGUCGGCUACUGCCGUCGGCCAGUACAAGCCCUGUCGGAAGGCGUUGCCGAUGAGGGUUCUUGGUGUGGCGUGGUGGCUGUAGGCUCCGGCGUGGAUGUCCUGAAUCAACGCCUUCCCCUACUCGAUCGGGAUGCAGCGCUGGAGGAUGCCGGUGUGGCUCCGCUUGUAGAGCUCCUGGUCGAUGAUGACAAAGGAUUUGGCGCGAUGUGCAAUCCUGUGUGCCUCUGUCUUGUUCGUCGGGAGCGUCUCGCGGAUGAGGUAGUCGAGGUACGGGGCUCUCCAGUCAGGCGGGGGGUCGGGCUCUUCUGCCGGGUUUGCGUCGAUCUCCAUGACUUCGGGGUUGGAGGGGUCGACCUCCGGGUCCAGGCCAGAUGGAGAGUCGCCGACCUUUCCAAGGUCGGCGUCCGAGUCCGGGACAGGUGGUGCGUUGCCAACCUCUUCCGGGUCGGCGCCCGAGUCCGGGGUGGGUGGCGCAUCGCCGACCCUUCCCGGCUCCUUGUAACGAAUCGAGGGCUGGUAUUGGUCGCUGAUGAAGAUGCCGUCGGGGACGGGCUUUCGGCCGGAUGCCGCCUUUGCCAGUUCAUCAACUGCCUUGUUGAAACGCCUUGCGACGUGGUUGAUCUCUAGUCCGUUGAACUUGUCUUCGAGCUUGCGGACUUCGUUGUAGUACGCCGCCAUCUUGGGGUCGUGGCAGCUCCACUCCUUCAUGACUUGUUCGACGUUAGCUGAGAGUCACCUCGGAUGUCCAGCCGCCGGAUGCCCAGCUCGAUGGCGAUGCGAAGCCUGUUGAGGAGAGCCUCGUACUCAGCGACAUUGUUAGAUGCAGGAAAAUGGAGGCGAAUCAUGUACCUCAUGCGCAGGCCGAGAGGAGAGACGAACACCAGACCCGCUCUGGCGCGAGCCUUCAUCAACGAUCCAUCGAAGUACAUCGUCCAGUACUCCUUCUUCUCCGGCUCCGAUGGCAUCUGGAUCUCCGUCCACUUCGCAACAAAAUCGGCGAGCACUUGGGACUUGAUGGCUGUACGGGAGGCGUAAGUGAUGCCCUGGUCCAUGAGCUCGAGCACUACCACUUCGCGAUCCGUCCUGUGGCGUCUUGAUUCCGGAUUACCUCGCCGAGAGGGAAUGAUGAGACGACCGUCACGGGAUGAGUGGUGAAGUAGUGGCGCAACUUCCUCUUCGUGAUGAGGACGGCAUAGAUGAGCUUCUGGAUCUGCGAGUAGCAGACCUUGGACUCGAACAAGACCUCACUAAUGAAGUAUACCGGGCGCUGCACCUUGAGGGCAUGUCCCUCCUCUUCUCACUCCACCACUAGGGCCGCGCUAACCACCUGGGUGGUCACCGCGAUGUAGAGUAGGAGUGGCUCCCUGUCGGUCGGCGGGACCAAGAUCGGGGCCUUUGUCAGGAGGUUCUCGAGCCGGUCAAGCGCCUCGUGGGCCUCGGUGGUCCACACAAAGCGGUCGGUCUUCUUCAGGACUCGGUAGAGGGGGAUCCCCCGUUCGCCGAGGUGCGAGAUGAAGCGGCUCAGGACCGCCAGGCACCCCAUGACGCGCUGAACUCCCUUUAUGUUUCGAAUCGGCCCCAUGUCGCUGAUGGCCGCUAUUUUCUCCGGGUUGGCUUCGAUCCCGCGCACGGAGACAAUGAAAGCCAGAAGCAUGCCCCUCGGAACCCCAAAAACGCACUUUUCAGGGUUGAGUUUGAUGUGCAUGUCUCUUAGCCAUUCAAAGGCUAGUUCGAGGUCGGGGAUGAACUGGUCGCCCUUCCUGGACUUGACUAUGAUGUCAUCGACGUAAGCCUCAACGGUUUGCCUGAUGAGGUCCCCGAAACACUUAAGCAUGCAUCGCUGGAAUGUAGCCCCCACGUUUUUGAGGCCGAACGGCAUCUUAACGUAGCAAUAGGGGCCGAAAGAGGUGAUGAAAGAGGUCGCGAGCUGGUCGGACUCUUUCAUCGCGAUCUGAUGGUAGCCGGAAUACGCGUCAAGGAAGCUAAGGGUUUCGCACCCUGAGGUUGAGUCGACUAUCUGAUCUAUACGUGGCAAAGGAAACGGAUCCUUUGGACAUGCCUUGUUGAGACCGGUAUAAUCAACACACAUCCUCCAUUUCCCAUUCUUUUUUCGUACAAGAACAGGAUUAGCUAGCCACUCGGGGUGGUACACUUCCUUGAUGAAUCCAGCCACCAAAAGCUUCUGAAGCUCCUCGCUGAUGGCCUUGCGCCUCUCCUCGUCGAAGCGUCGCAAGCCUUGCUUCACUGGUUUGGAGCCGGCCUUGAUGUUCAAGGAGUGCUCGACGACUUCCCUUGGGAUGCUAGGCAUGUCCGAGGGUUUCCACGCGAAAACAUCGCUGUUCGUGCGGAGGAAGUCGACGACCGCGCUUUCCUAUUUGGGAGAUUGGGCAGCGCCUAUCCGUACGGUCUUGCCGUCGGAACUGCUGGGGUCGAGGGGGACCUCCUUGACGCCUUCGGUGGCUUCGAAGGAGGUGUCGGAUUGCUUGGAGUCGGGCAGGUCCUCGGCGCUCUCCGCGAGCUGGACCGCGGGGUCCUCCGUGCAGGUGAUGGCUGCGGCAUACUCGCAGCACUCUACAUCGCACUCGUACGCCUUCUGGAAAGACGUGCCGACGGUGAUGACCCCGUUGGGCCCCAGCAGCUUGAGCUUGAGGUAGGUGUAGUUGGGGAUGGCCAUGAACUUGGUGUAGCACGGCCGCCCCUAUUAGGAUACGAGGUAGGCUACACUAGCGCAAAUCAAAAUUUCUACCGCGUAAAACCAGGAAGAACUACCGUAUAAGGAUCACGGGAUUACCACUCGACGCACUACUGGUGCGGAAGAUGUAGAUUUUGCGUCGAUGCAGCGACGACGAUCAAUGUAGUCGUACUUAGUCGAUCAACGUAGUCGUACAUAGUCGAUCACGUCAACGUCCAGCAGCUCCUCAGCAGCUCGUCCACGUGCAGCAAGAUCGCCCUCAUGCCGCGGCUCGUCGUCGGCUCGUCAUGGCUCGUCGGCGGCUCGUCCAAGUGCUACAGGCGCAACACCUCCAAGGUAUCCACACGUACAGGGAGGAAGCGUCGCAAGCCGGACUGCUAGAUCCGCGAGUUGCAACAGGCAAGGGCGUGGGAGGCGCGGCAGAUGUGUUUCGCCAAAAGGUGUAAACCCUAGGGCACCCCUACCCGUCUAUUUAUAGAGGUUCCUAAUGGGUCUCUAGGUCCGAGGCCCAUUAGUACUUCUAAACCUAAUCCAACUCGGAUCACAUCCGAAUUGGGCUUCCAGCCCCUUAAGUGUGUGACCCUAUGGGUUCGGAUACGUAUAGACAUGGCCCGAGUACUCCUACUCGGCCCAAUAGUUGGUAGCGGCCUCUAGCAAGACGUGCCAACUCCUAUACGCACACGAAGAUCAUAUCAGACAAACCAUCACAACAUAAUAUACAUGCUAUUCCCUUUGCCUCAUGAUAUUUGGUCUAGCUUCAAGCCGACCGGUCUUUCUCGAUCCUGUGAUUCGGAAUCCGUUUGUAGGUUAACUCUUAACCGUACGUAUCAUGGCCAUGCAUUUUCGGAUCCGAUCACUCGAGGGGCCCAGAGAUAUCACUCUCAAUCAGGGAGGGGCAAAUCCCAUCUUGAUUGACCAUGUCUCAUAGCAUGCUUCUUGACAAACCCGAAAGCUACCUUUAUAACUACCCUGUUACGGCGUAGCGUUUGAUAGCCCCUAAGUAGGUCGAUCCACAUCUUGAAUACAUGCGACAAUCUCAGGUCUAAGGACAAAGCGUAUAUGUUGUUUAAAGAGAGAACUACUUCUCGUGUUGGGUCAGUCCUAGCACAUGUCUCCACAUGUGUCCACAUUAUUAGUUCAACAUCUCCAUGUCCAUGACUUGUGAAACAUAGUCAUCAACUAAUACAUGUGCUAGUCUAAUAUUCAUGUGUGUCCUCACAUGAACUCCGACUAGGGACAACUUUAGAAUAACCAUACAAGUAAAGAGUUUCACAUACAAUUCACAUAAUUGCAAAUCAAUUCAAGUAGCCUUUAAUGGAUAUUCAAUGAACACAAUAUACAAAUCAUGGAUACAAAUGGAAUAUCAUCAUCUCUAUGAUUGCCUCUAGGGCAUACCUCCAACAGCCCCAAGAUGGCGUGGUAGGUUCCACGGAAACCCACUACCUCGAAGGUGAGGAUCUCCUUCCUAUAGUUAGAAGGAGUCCCGAAAGUGACGAGCAGGUCGAUCUGCCCCAGAGGCAUCGCCCGUUUCCCCGGCACGAUGUCGUGGAAUGGUGCCUCGCUGGGGCGGAGGCGGGAGCGGUCGAUCCCCAUGGUGUCGAGAGUCUCGGCGUAGAGGAUGUUGAGGCCGCUGCCUCCGUCCAUGAGCACCUUGGUGAGGCGCGUCGUGCCGACAAUGGGGUCGACGACGAGCGGGUAGCGUCCUGGCUGCAGGAUGUGCCCCGGGUUUUCGGACCGGUCAAAGGUGAUGGCGGGUUUCGACCAAUCGAGGAAGGCCGGUGUAGCGGGCUCGGCCACGCAGACCUUGCGUCGCUCCAGCUUCCAGCGGCGCUUGGAGUCGUAAGCCGCUGGCCCGCCGAAGAUCAUGAAGGAGCCGUCCACCUUGGGAAAGCCGUCUUCCUUCUCCUCGUCAUCCUUCUUCUCCUCCUCGGGCUUUCGUCUCCGAUCGCCCUUCACUGGGUUGCCUACAAAAUACCUCUUCAUGAGGUUGCAUUCUUUGUCGGCGUGCUUAGCGGGGAACUCGUGGUUCGGGCACGGUCCCUCGAGCAGCUUGUUGAAGAAGCCGGGGGUGCCCUCAGGGGGCGGCUGUCCCCACUUGCGCUCAGCAACGGCUACGAGGGGGGCCUUGCGCCGCUGCUUGUUCUUCUUCUUUUGCUGGCGGUUGGAGGUGCCCUCGUCGGUGUCCUCCUCCCGCUUCGCCUUGCCUUUGGAACGAUCAAAGAUCACCCUGACAGCCUCUUCGCCCAAGGUGAAGCUGGUGGCAAUGUUGAGGAGCUCCUCCGUGGUCCGCGGGCCCCUGCAUCCCAGCUCGUGGACAAGGGGCCAGCAGGAAGUUCCUGCCAGGAAAGCUCCUAUGACGUCAGCGUCCGCGACGUUAGAGAGCUCGAUGCGCUUCCUGGAGAAAUGUCGGAUGUAGUCCCGGAGGAACUCGUCUGACCCCUGGCGGCAGCUCCUGAGGUCCCAGGAAUUGGCAGGGCGCAUGUACGUGCCCUGGAAGUUCCCCUCGAAGAUCUCCUUCAGGUCGUUCCAGCUACGGAUCCGACCCCAAGGGAUGUGUUCCAGCCAGGCUCGCACCGAGUCAGCCAGAAAGAGCGGGAGAUUGCGGAUGAUGAACAGAUCGUCAUCCGCCCCAUCGGCCUAACAUGCAAGUCAAUAGUCACUGAGCCACAACCCGGGGUUUGUCUCCCCGGAAUACUUGGCCACAUUCGUGGGCUGCCUAAAGCGCGCCGGGAAUGGCGCGUUCAGGAUACGUGUGGAGAAGGCCCUGGGCCCCGCUGGGUCGGGGCUCGGGCUGCGAUCUUCUUCGCUGUCGUAGUGGCCACCACGGUGGACAUGAUAGCCGUGGUCCACUCCAUCCUUCCUGUCCACGCGGGAGUGUCUUCGCGCGUCCAGAGUGUCGCAGGCAUCAUGGACGGGACCGAUGCGCCGGUGAACGGACUGAGCCCUGCCUCCUGCGGGUGGCGGUGUCCGUCGAGCGUGCGCGACCCGGUUCGACCUAGGGGGAGGCUGGUCGACAGACUCCCCCUGCCUCUCAGGAGGUGUAGUGGGCGCUGCCCUGCUGGCGUUUUGCCCGCAUCGUCGGGACGCGGAGCUCUCUGUCUGCUGGACGACGGCGCACUCGAGCAGGUUGCGCACCUCCUGGUGCACCUGACGCUCCUCGGGCGUCGCCGGCUCAGGGAGUUGUCAGAGUAGGGCCGCCGCUGCGGCAAUAUUCUGGCUGGCGCGGGCGAAGAGCUGAGGGUGAUCUUCGUCCGUGCAAAUGCGUUGCUAGAUGUUGCGCGCCCGUUGUCGUGCCCCGCCUUCGUUGUGGGGGCCCUCAAGCUCCUACUGGGGUGCCGCGCGCACCUCCGGCUGUCGUGGCCGUACCGGGACCCUGGCAAGAGCCCUAGUCCUAGCUGCGGCGCGCGAUGGGGGAGUGCGCUGCCCCCCUUCGGCGCUGUCAUCAUUGCGUCCCCCGGAGUGCGCGUCGGCCAUGAAGCACUCGCGCGAGAGGUGGUGGCUCCCGUUGUUGGAGCCGGCGUCGGAGGUUGUCCUCGCCACGCCCACGAGCUCGUUGCUCGCGGGCGGCACGUUCAUGGACCACGCCAGGAGAUGACCGUAGGUCGCCACGGCAUUACGUAGCCCGAAGGGCCACUCCUCUGAAGGGGACCCCAUGGCGCGUGCCCAGCCGCUCGCCACUAUCCCGGCGGCGGAGCCAGAGAUGACGAGGCGAGCAGGAAAGAUAAGGAGAGGGAUCAGCUCGAUCCCCUCCCCCGUGGCGAGGAAGUCCAAGCUCCCGAAGCGGAUGAGGGAGCCUGAAGCGAAGCUGGCGUCGUGGCUGGCCAUCUGAAGCCGGUGAUGUACGCGCAAAGGCCCCUACCUGGCGCGCCAAUUGUCGUUGUCAAGAUUAACGGAUCAAGACUACGGCUAGUAAAUUUCUUUUAUGCGUGUAAGGCUUUGGAUGGUGGCGUGGGGAGACACGGGGUUAGACUGGUUCGGGCGAGAAAAGCCCAACGUCCAGUAUAAGGAGCUGCUCGUGUUACCCACGCGGGGUCUGUAGUAGGGAUUACAAACGGACGAGAGAGGGAGCCGGUCCCAAGUCUCUUGGGUGUGCACUGAUGCUCAUGAGGUGAGUGUGUGGGUUCUGUUGGCUUGAGAGUCCUCCCGAUCUCGGGGCCCCUGGUUCUCCUUUUAUAGCGCAAGGAGGGUUCAGGGUUACAGGCGAGACUGGGUGUCAGGAGGAGUAAAAGAGAUAAGCUAAGUGAAGUAAAGUACAAGGAGAAGGACCAAGUUCCCGAGUCGCCGCCUCCUGCUCCGGCCUUCGACUCCUGUCAGCGCAGCCACCGGAGGAGGGCGGCUGCCGCCGGAUCCUGUCGCCGAUCCUCCGGGCGACCGUCGCCGCCGGGCAUGAUGAUGGUGUCCGGUCGUGGCAACUGUGCACGUUGGGGGAGACGGCUGACCCCUGUUGUCCUGCUUACGUCCCGUGGAACACGAACAUCACGUCCCUGUCGCCGGAUACGCUGGGCGCGAGAACGGGCGGCGCUCCCUACUGUGCCGGGUGGCGCAUGCUAUAAGUGCCCUAUGGCGAAUCAGGGGGAGCCGCGACCACUGUAGCCUAUGCGGUCGUGGCUACAGUGUUCCGCCCGGGUACUUGUGGCGGGUCACGUCGAGGGGCGCAGGCGCCUUUCUACGCGCUAGAGCCGCAGCACAUUUGUGGCAAGAUCGGUGGGGGGCCCACGAGAUCCGCGCCCUCGUCUGCCGGCCUGCGCCCGAGGCGGACCAUUGUCUUGUGGGCCCGGAUGAGUCCGACCCCUACGCCCAGGGUCAGGCGAGGCGGAGCCCUGCAGCGAGGGGUCGGGCGCACCCGACCCUGGGAUUGUCGGUCGGGCGAGGCGGAGUUUCACCAUCGAGGGGUCGGGAGUGUCCGACCCCAGGGCCCUGGGUCGGGCGAGACGGAGCGGGAUAUUCCCUGCCCAUGCUGGGUCGGUGGUAAUCAUCAUUACCGCAUGUGGGCCUGGGCCUUCAUGAUUGUUAUUUUAAGGGGCAUUAUGAGGUCGUUAACGUUUCCCCCCAACAGUUUGUGACCACCAAAUGAUCUCAAAUGAAAAAUUUGUCGACUACAAAGUUUUACAUCUCGUCUAGCUGUACCACUUUUAUACAAAGAGCUUCUUCUCUUUAUCUGAAGUCAUUUGAAAAAUUCAAAAAUUGUAUAUUUCAAAACUAGAGAACAUAUAAUAAUAUUUUGAAGUAUUAAAAAAUCUUAAAUUUAAAACUUGUCAACUUCAAAGUUUUAGGUCUUGUUGAACUCUACAAGUUUGAUGUAGUGCUUCUGUAUAGCCGAAGUCAUUUGAAACUUCAAAAGAUUUAGAUUUCAAAACUAGAGAACUUUAAAGGAUAUUAAACAAUCUCAAAAGAAAAACUUUUGAACUACAAAGUUUUAGGCCUUGUCGAGGUAUACAAUUUUGAUGUAAAGUAAGUCUUCAUCUGAAGUCAUAUGAAAAAGUUAUAAAUUUAUUUUCAUGGGAACAUUUCUAGGGGCGAGCCAUGUCAUCAUUCGCCCUUAGAAAUAGACGUCAUUUUGAGGGGUGGGUCACCCCGUGACCCACCCCUACAAAUGCUUCUCUAGAGAUGGGCUGGUUGCUACAGUAGCCCCGCUCCUUUUGUAGGAGUGGGUAGCAAUUUCGCCCACCCCUAGAAAAAAUGGGGCGCUCCUAUGAAUCGCUUUUGUAGUAGUGAUUACUAAUUAAAUGGUAUGCGUAGCCUAUGAAAUCAUGAAAUGAAACUUUGCAUUGAGGGGAUCGGUUUCACUCAUCAACUCAAACCUCUUUUGAUGACAUGUCACUCUUGGAAACCACAAGAUGAAACUCCCCACUAGGAAUAGCCUAACUAAAAGAAAAUAUAUAAUAAGUUAUAUAGCUUUAAUUUAUCAGAAAAAGAAAUGCCCGACUAGGGUACCCAUCACUAGAAUUCUAUAGUCAUUGAGCACAAUCUGAUGAUCAUUGGUCCUCUUCAACCUCCCGCCCCUAGCCUCUUCUUACCACCGAGUUUCGCACCCGCUGCUACCACUGCUGGGGAAGCGCCUUCAGAAUCAGGUCCAAACCCCCCUUUAGUACCGGUCAACCGGUAUUGUUCAAAUAACUGGUACUAAUGGGGAUACCAGUUGUUAAGACCAACCAGUACUAAAUUGGCUGCCCGGUUGCGUGUGGCCGAAGCCAAUUUUGUACCGGUUGAUCUCCCCAAUCGGUACUAAAUUCCUUUUUCUUUUCUGUUUCUUUUCUCAUUUUCUUUUCUAUUUCUUGAUUCUAUAUUAUUAUUUCGUAUUUGUCCUUUAUGUAUACUAGUUCUAAUACACAAUAUAUAUAAAGUUAUAUUUGAUCUAUAAUAUUACAUUUGAGAUAAUAUUAUACAUAGACAUCAGUCGACCGUGGGAUUACGUGAGCAGCCGGACGUUCGAGCCCGCGGCCGGCCUUCGUGCAUGGAGGCCGGAGGUGCUGGUGGCAGAGUAUGGGAGGUGCUAGCCAGCGGCGCGUCGGGGAGAGAAUGGCCGCCAGCGCGUCGGGGAGCGGAGGGCCACCGGCGUGUCGGGGAGAGGAGGGUAGGUGGCGUGUAGGGGAGCUCGAGAGAGGGCGUGCCAGCAGUAUCGUCGGGGAGAGGAGGAGGCGCCAGCGGAGUGGAGGCGGCGGCGUUGUCCGGGAUGAGGCAAGCGUUGCGUCAGGAGGGCCGGGGGCGGCCAGCGCUAGUGUUGAGGAAGUAGGGCUGGCAGCGUCAGGGAAGCAGGGGCCAAUGGUGCGUACGUCGGGGAGAUCGGGGAGGGCCCGCGACGUUGUCGGGAGAGGAAGGGAGCCAGGUGGCGACCGAGGGCAGCGUCGGUGUCAGGGAGGGGCGCCGGUGUUGGGAAGGGCCGCGUUGGGCAGCCAGCUGGCGCUGGUGGUGUCGGGGCCCGGACAACGUGCUAGGGAGGUGGGUCGGGGGGUGGCGCCGGUGUUGGGGACAGCGCUGACGGGAGCGCGCGGCGUGGACGAGCCGGAGGGUGUUGGGGUGGCAGCACGAAGGAUUCGAAUCGGAGGACCUAGGCCAGCGGCGACAACAUUGAGGGCGAAUGUGGCUAAGUGUUGGGAGGAAGGGGAUGGGGUUUUGAUCUUUAGUAGCGGUACAAAUGGCCUUUAGUACCGGGUGGUAGCCAGUACCGGUGCUGGCCACCACCCGGUACUAAAGGGGGGCAGAGCAUGCCAAAACAAAACUGCCCCCUUUAGUACUACAUGUUCUUAUCACCCGGUACUAAAGGGAUUUGUAGCCCACUGUUCUGGCUUCCCGCCUAAACAUCUUUUUAUUUUAUUUUUUUACAAAUGCUAUUGUAUUAAUUUAUUGCGUAGUAAAUCAAAUAACAUUCAUUAAAUUUGCAAAAAUAAUUUGUUAGCUUGAUGUUGAUUAGAUAUACACUAUAAAAAUAUUAAAUGUAGUCAAAUAUAAAAUAUAGUAAAGUUAUUAAUUUUAACUUAGUAAUAGGUUAUAAUGGUCAUAAUACUUAUGUUAACUUUAAAAUUAGAAAAAAUAUAUAUUUUGACCAUGCAAAAAUUUAGAAAAAUAGUGCAUGUAGUGUUAUUAACAUGUUUACCAUGACUUAGUCAUGUACUUGUUUAGUUGUAUCUAAAUUUAUUAUUUAAUAUUUAAUAAUGCUAAAAAACAAAAUAUUUAAUAUUUUAACCAUGCAAAAAUCUGUUGUUGUUUGAUAAAGUGAGAUUUUUGCAAAUAGUAUUACAUACCAUUACAAUGUGUUAUUAUAUUAAUUUAUCACUUGAUCACAAAACACAACAUAAUGGUUCUGAUACAUUACACAACAUCAUCUAAUGGAACAUUACUAACCUUCCUCUUGACGAACCUCCCUUGGUUGUGAUCGUGGCGUAAGUAUGGAGCGUCCUCUUUGGAUAACAAGAUGCUUGGGUCAACCUUGACUAAAAAUGGAGGAAGAUCAACUGAUCAUAAACUCCAACGAUUUUUUUUCAUUGGAAGAACUAUGUGGCGCUUUGGCUGGUCAUCUGACUUAUUAGCACCCUUCUAUUUUGGUUUGCUUGACAUGUCCAUCGCAUACAAAACUUGAGUCACAUCAUUGGCUAUGACAAAUGGUUCGUCUCUGUAUCCAAUCUUGUUGAGGUUCACUAUUGUCAUCCCAUAUUUGUCUGUCGUUACGCUUCCUCCAGUAAGUUUCACCCAUUGACACCGAAAUAGAGGGAUUUUCAAAGGUUCAUAGUCGAGUUCCCAUAUAUCCUCAAUGACACCGUAGUAUCUGUCUUUUUUUCCAUUGUUGUCUAUUGUAUCUAUACGGACACCACUAUUUUGAUUUGUGCUCUUUUGGUCUUGGACUGUCAUGUAAAAUGUGUACCCAUUUAUCUCAUAUCCGUGGAAUGUCGAUACUAAGAUAGUGAACCCCUAGCCAACCAUGCUAGUUGCUCUUCAAUCAUAUCAUCACCCAUCAGUCGUCGCCACAACCAAGAGGUGAAAGUGUCAAUGUGAUGGUGUGUAAUCUAGGCCUCAGUCUUCCCUUGGUUUGAGGACCGUACAAUGGUUUUGUGCUCCUCCAAGUAUGGAGCCACCAGGGAUGAUUAUUGCAGGACCGUAAAGUAUGCUUUACGAAAUGUACUCUCAUCGAUGUCCAUCCGAGUUUUCCUCCCUAGUGUGCCCUUUCCCUUGAGUCUCCCCUCAUGACGUGAUACAGGGACUCCAAUCGAACUCAGGUCGUCGAUAAAGUCAACACAAAACUCAAUGACCUCCUCUGUUCUAUGUCCCUUUGCGAUGCUUCCUUCCAGACAGGCACGAUUACGAACAUACUUCUUCAGAACUUCCAUAAACCUCUCGAAAGGGAACAUAUUGUGUAGAAAUAUAGGACCGAGAACAAAAAUCUCUUCAACAAGGUGGAUCAGAAGGUGGGUUAUGAUAUUAAAUAAGGAAGGUGGAAAGACCAUCUCAAAACUGACAAGGCAUUGCACCACAUUAUUCUGCAGCUUUGUAGAUUGUUUUGAUGGAUUGCCUUUUGAGAAAUCAUGUUGAGAAAUGCACAUAGCUUCAUGAUUGCCAUUCUCACAUUCUCUAGUAGAAUACCCCUCAGUGCAACAAGAAGCAAUUAUGUCAUUAGGACAUGGCAGUCAUGGGCCUUUAGAUUUAUAAAUUUCUUCUCUUUAAUAUUUAUUAUUCUUUAUAUAUUUGAGGAGUAGCCUGAUGAGACCUUGAUACUAUUCAAGCACUCAAACAUGCUUUCCUUCUCUUCCUUGCUAAGAGUUUAACUUGCAGGAUGCAAGUAAUAUCCAUCAUCUCUCUUUUCUAGAUGUAGGCCAUCUCGUUGUUUCAUACGUUUCAAGUCCCAACGUGCUUCAAUUGUAUCCUUUGCCUUUUCAUAUGUACCUAGGGAGCCAAGCAUAUUCAUGCAAAGAUUUUUUAUCAGGUGCAUCGCAUCGAUUGCAUUACGGACCUCAAGGACUUCCCAAUAAGGUAGCUCCUAAAAUAUUGACUUCUUCUUCCACAUGGGUGCAUGUCCGUCCUCUUCGUUUGGAACAGGUUGGACUCUGCCAGAUUGAGAAAACCACGCAAGCCAUUAAUGUAUUCCAUGGAUCGUUUGUCCGCACUGUACAUCCACUGCCGAUCCAUCUACAAAGUAUUACCGAACCAAAGAUAUUCUGAUCAUCCAUAGAAUUAUACAUGAAACAUAACAAACAUGAUACACUACGAUAAACCAUCCACUAAGUACUAUCUAAGAGGACUUUAAGCAUCUUUGGGCGGCAAAGACGAAGGUUUCACUAACGCAGCCUCAUCCUGUAGUUUAUUUGUGCCUCCUGCAACGGUACUACUCGGUGGACCUGAAACACCCGGAACUAGCAGUGGAGCAUAAUGACCACCAAAAGGAGAUUCCUGACCCGCUGCAAUAGCAUCUUCAUAACAUCUUUCCAAAUAACGAAGCCUUGCUCUCUCCAACGUGCUCAUUUUCCACGUGCUCAUUUUCUUCGGCUUAUCAUGAGGGCGAACUAUGGUUUUUCCCCUUGCCGCGAGAGGGACGACGAUCGCCCCCACCAUCGCCACUACCUCCAGCAGCAGUAGUCAUCUCUAUGUACCAUAAUUUAUUUAUCUCAUAUUUGCAAAUGACUAAACUAUGAACAAAUUAUAUUUUCCCCACAAUUUAUUUAGCUCAAACAUAACAUAUAAAUGAAAAAAAAUUCCAUUGUAGCUUAUUCUAAAAAUGACAAAUUACAUACCUCUAUUUCAUCUUAUUAUCUCUAUGUACCACAAUUUAUCUCGCUCAUAUUUGCAAAUGACUAAAAUAUAAAAAAAUUAUAAUUUUCCCCAUAAUUUAUUUAGCUCAUAUUUGUAAAGGACUAAACUAUGAAAUUAUUUCUCUAACCUCAUAUAAAUUUCUUUGACUAAUACGAAACAUAGCAUCCAAAAAAUUAUAGCUUAUUCUAAAAAUAAAUAUAAGCUCUAAAUAACACAUGCAUAUAAAUGAAAAAUUUCUCCAUUGUACCUUAUUUAAAAAACACAAAUUACUCUAGCUAUAAAGCAUAAAACUUAGUAUACUAACCAUGUAUCAAGGGAGGAUGAAGUUUUUAACCUUUAGAACACUUGAAUGAGUGAAAUCCCCACAAAAUGGUCAAAAAUCCGGCAGCACCUCCCCUAUUUUGCUAUGAAUUGAUGAACCUCGAGCUGGAGGAAAUAGGUCGGGCAGGAGGAAGAAGACAUCUGAUUUAUAGGAGGGAAGUUAGUACCGGUUGGGGGCUCCAACCGGUACUAAAGGGGGUCACGGCGGGCUCGUGGGAAACUAGCCGUUAGACCCGAUACUAAUGCAAUACUCACGUUAGUACCAGGUCAAAACCAACCGCUACUAAACCUCGGAACGAAUGCCGAGUUUCCCAUUAGCGUGCUGCGGAUUAGGGUUCUUGCUAAAGUGCCACGUAGGUACGGUGGCUAGCAGUCUGGCUUUCUAAAAGAAAUCAUGCAAGUCUUUAGCUAACAAGUGACCCUGAAAACUGAAAUCAGAGUAUACUGGUACAUAUACCAGGAACAAGAAGUAUGCAUGCGACAGUUAAACCGUUGGAGCUUCCGAUCUGCAACCGCUACGUACGAGCAAUGCACAUGUUGGCGCGCGCACGCAGACGUACGUGCCGUGUGCGCGCGAGUUGAGUGCACAUGCAUGUGUACGCUGCUAGCAGCUGACUGCUGCCGCAAGAGCCAAGAGGAGAGUAGUGUGGGGGCAUGCAAAUGAUGAUGGGUACACGACCGAAUGAUGAUGGCGAAGCCAGAGAAUGCACGGACCAAAGCUAGCGUUGGAUUCUCUCAUGAUUCCAUCCCACCCAUCCAUCGAUCUAUCGUUCAACUGCAUGCUGCUGCCAGCCUGCCAUGGGCAUGACCUAUGCGCAACUGCUGCCGCCCUAGCUAGUUCUGCACUGCACUGUCUUCUCUGAACCAAGUCCUGAUCGAAGAGCCAAAGGCUGAAGCAAUGAACAACAAUGAUUCUGCGUACGUCGUCGUCCAUCUCCACACAGCUCCUGCUGCAGCUGUACACCCCCCCCCCCCCCCCCCCCCCCCCCCCCCGCUCUCUCUCUCUCUCUCUCGUUCUGGGUACCAAGAGGAUCGGAGGAGACGGAAUUAUAUAUGGAAGCCACGCACACGUCAUCAUCAUUGUCCGAGGCCUUUUCUUGGAAAGUCUCGAGUGUUGAGUUUCUCCCGCCGGCUAGCCGGCCGGUCAGUCUCGCAACCCCUCCGAGUGCUUUGCCGUGACGGCAUCAUGCAUGGCAUGGCUAUGGCUCCGGUGGAGCUAAGCUUAUACGGAGUAGCUGCUAGCUCGACCGUCAGGAAGCUCAAAGCUGGCUUCUGUGUGGCGUAUCUAUCGUCGGAUUCGCUUGCAGUGUGCAGGUAGCUAGCUUGCUUUUAUGCAUGCCUUCACGCUUCAGUUGGGCGAUCGAGCUUCUGCAUCAAGACGAUGCAUACGGUGUCUGUUGACACGCGACUACCAUAAAAGGAUUUAGUACCGGGUGGAGCCACCCGGUAGCCGCUGCCACCCUACCGCCGCCGCUCCAUUCCUGCAUAGGCACGACACAGCAUAGGCACAACACGCCACCGCUGCCCGUCGCCCGCCCGAGCCGCCACCAAGCCACCAGCCCGCUGCCACUGCCGCCGCUCUCGGAUCUCGCACCGUUGGCCGCCGCCGCCGCUCCUCGCCUCAGGAACGAGGUGAGGGGCGAGUGGAGGGGGGAGGAGAGGGAGGCCGGGGAGGGAGGGAGGGAGAGCUUGAGGGAGAGAGUGCCGGGAGGGGGAGGGAGAGCUCGAGAGAGAGGGGGAGGGAGAGGGAGGGGGUGCCGCCGCUGGAGACGGAGGGAGCUAGUGGAGGGGAGAGGGAGCUGGGCAGAGAAGAAGAUAAGGAGGGAGGCACUAGGCAGAUCGAGAAGAUAAGGAGGGAGAGGCAGAGGGGAUGAGCUAGGCGCGCGUGAGAGAUGGGGGGGGCGCGUAAAAAUCUAAGUGUUUUGACUCAUGUGUGGACGGGAGGCCCUUCUAGUACCGGUUGGGGGCUCCAACCGGUACUAGAGAUCAUCCUCUUACUACCGGGUGGCUCACCUCCCGUCCACACAAGAGUCAAAACACUUAGAUUUUUACGCGACCCCCAUCUCUCACGCACGCCUGGCUCAUCCCCUCUGCCUCUCCCUCCUUGUCUUCUCGAUCUGCCUAGCGUCUCCCUCCUUAUCUUCUUCUCUGCCCAGCUCCCUCUCCCCUUCACCGGCUCCCUCCAUCUCCACCGGCGGCACCCCCUCCCUCUCCCUCCCCCUCUCUCUCGAGCUCUCCCUCUCCCUCCUCGACCCUCUCUCCCUCAACCUCUCCCUCCCUCCCCGGCCUCCCCUUUCCUCCCCCCUCCGCUCGCCCCUCACCUCGUUCCUGAGGCGAGGAGCGGCGGCGGUGGCAGCGGGCUUGGUGGCUUCAUGGUGGCUCGGGCGGGCGACGAGCAGCGGCGGCGUGUUGUUCCUAUGCUAUGUUGUGCCUAUGUAGGAAUGGAGUGGCGGCGGUAGGGCGACGGCAGCGAGGGCCGGGUGGGAGCGGCGAGAGCCUAGCGAAGGAGGAGGGGCGGCGGGGGUGGAUGGGGCGGAGGAGGAGGCGGCGGUGGGGGUGGAGGGGGCGGAGGGGCGGACGGGGUGGAGGGGGCUGGCGGUGGCGGAGGAGGCGGGGGUAUGGGUGGAUUUUCUUUUUUAAAAUUUUUUUAAUACCCUCUAGUACCGGUUACCGAUUGGCUAGUACCGGUUGCACAAUUGGUACUAGAGGAGGGUUGGAAACCGGUACUGGAGCCACUUUUUCUAGUAGUGCACUUACAAGGUGGUGGAGGAGGACAGUUCUAGUUUUUCUUAUUUUUUUCAAGGAAAAAGUUCAAAUUACUCCCCCGAAUAUAACCUAAGUCUGGAUAAUCCUCAAAAGUAUUUCUUGGUUUAUGCGAUUUGGUUCAAUUUACCUCUUACGCAAUUUAUCUUUUCUGUUUCCCCAUGCACAAGUAGAUUUUUAAGUUCAAAUUUCGCAAGAUGGUAGCAAAUAGCAUAAGACAUGUUUAAAAAAUAUAUCAUGAAUUUUUCAUCACUAUUUUGAUAGGGUAGGAUAUUUAAUAAUUAAAUUUUAUCGUUGAGAUACAAAAUUAUAUAAAAACUAAUGAUGAAAAAUUCACAAAAUAUUUUUUUAAUACAGAUUAUGAUGUCCACUACCACCCUGCAAAGUCUCAAAUUAAAAUUCAACAUGUCUAUGGAGAAACAACAAUGACAAAUUGCAUUAUGGGGUAAGUUGAACCAAAUAGUAUAGUUUAGGGGGUAAAUUGAAUAAAAAUAUAGUUAAGGGUUAUGUGGACUUUUACGAUAAGGGAGUAAUUUGGACUUUUUCCUUUUUUCAAUAUCUCUCAACUUUUUUUUAACCAAAAACGACUUACGGUUACCAUCCUUCUUUACCAUUUCUAUCAAAGAGUCAAGAUUGUAGAAAGUUUUAGUUUUUCUAAAUUUAUAAUUUUUGUUAGGCAUCACAUACGCUAAUGCUAAGUCUCGAUGCAUAAUUUGAGACGGAUGGUGUAUUUCCUGAGCGUUAUUUACUAGACGAUGGCUUACAUUGUUUUCUUAUUGGAAGUCGUUGCUCGGUGAUUCUUUAAUUUGUGUUAAUUUAUUUUCACCAUAGGAUGUUCAAAUUAGACAACAAAACGCUCAGGUUGAGAAAAACUACAAACAUGGGAUAACCGUAGGCCAUUUAAAAAGAAAUAAAACACCUAGGAAACUUGACAUCUUUUAUAUUCACAUAUGCAGGCAGAUGCAGACGCGUGACGACAUGGAUACAUCAUACAUGGAAUCGUUACGCAUACGCACAGACAUUGCCUUUAAUUUGUUCGUGAAUUAAUAAACAAAGAAGUGUUGUGUGUGGCAAUUGACAUGCAUGCGUAUAUAGAUAGACAUACGUACGUGAUGCGCACAGUUCAUUGACAGGAUAUGCAAAACGCUAUACGCUAGCUCCACCUAUACGUACGGACCGAAAUGUUUGACGUCUCUCUCUCUCUCUCAUUUUUACACGUAGCAUGGUGAAAAAAAUGAAAAACCCCUAGCUAUACGUAUUCUGUAAGAUUUCACGCCCUAGCCAUGCAUUGUGGUCACAAGCUAUGACGGCUGGGGUAGUUGCGUGAGGAGAAAGAGACGAUCGAUGGACAGAUGGAAUGAUGGGUUGAGUAGCUGGUGGUAGCGUGUGUUGACCCAACCACGCAGUUACUUCCGACGUGCGUCGCCAUCGUCGUCCGGUGGAUCCAACGGUACCUUUCUUCACCACCUUGCACACUGCGUAGUCGUCGAUCGUCUCCAACUGCAAUGCGUUUCUCCGUACGUCUGGUUGUAGCGCAUGCAUAUGGCAGGGCAAAGCAUUCAAUUGACACAACGCUGUUGCCGCUGCGGCUUCAAGGAAAUAAUAUAAAGGUCUGGGAUGCAUGGACCGAUCGACUGAUCGAUGGAUGGAUGGCAAGCAAUCCCAUGCAGCGAGGUGUAGACUGAAUCAGAUGAAAGCAGAGCGUGCGUCCCCAUGAUGAUUGAAGACGCCCUAACUUCACGGGGGUGCCAGCAAGAUCAGUUGACUACCGUCACAUCAUCUCAUCUCAUCACAUCACACGCUACGUACGCAUGUCUGUCGGACGUGCUUGUGCGCAUUGCCAGUAGUAGUUCCAUUAGUCCAAGUGCAUGAUAUACCUAGCUACCUAUUCUCUGCAAUCACAAAAUAAAAGUUUUGGGACAUCGACGCAGUCCAUAAGAACUAGCAAUUUUCUAAAAAACAUAUUAUUUUUAUUUCAAAUACAUGUUGUUAAAUAUUACUUCUCAUGAUGAAUAAUCUCGUAGCAUUAAACUUAUUAUGCUGAUCAAAACUAAACAAGUUUGACUUAGGAUAAAUGUAAAAUUACUUUAUAUUUGUGAUUGGAGAUAGUGUAUAAUGCAAAUUCAGUCCCUUAACGAUUGGCAACAGUUGCGGUGUGCAAAAUCAGUCCCUUGAUCCAUCCAAUCAUGAAAAUUUUGUCAUGCUCAUUUGGGGACGUAAAUUAUUGAAACUUUGGCAGCCAAUACUCUCUGAAUGAUCAGAUAAAAAACAUGCAUGUUAAUUUGUGCGUGCUAUGCUUUUCCUUGAAAAGUGCUUUUCUAGUAGUGCAACUUAUGUUGGAUUACAUGAACAUCUGGCACGGUAGUAGAGAGAUUAGCCAUCAAAUAAAGUUGUGUUUAAACAAUGUGCAAAGAUAACUUCCUUUUCUUAAAUUUUAAGUAUUCAUUAUUUUUUCAAGUGCAUGAUUUUAGCCUUUUACUGCCAUCUCUCAUUAUGGCAGCAACAUGAGUAGUUUUUUCUGGUUUCUAUGACUACGAGGAAGUACACUGUCAACUUGAAAUAAAAUAUGGUGGUAUCUUUAUUGCACAAGCACCAUAAAGACUUAAGCCUGUUUGGUUCUUUGGUUCCUGUCUGUCACAUCGAAUGUUUAGAUACUAACUAGAAGUAUUAAAUAUAGACUAAUUAUAAAACCAAUUGCAUAGAUGGAGGCUAAUUUGCGAGACAAAUCUAUUAAGCCUAAUUAGUCCAUAAUUUGAAAAUGUGAUGCUACAGUAAACAUGUGCUAAUGAUGGAUUAAUUUGGCUUAAUAGAUUCAUCUCGUGAAUUAGCCUCCAUUAAUUAGUUUUAUAAUUAGCUCAUGUUUAGUUCUCCUAAUUAGCCUUCGAAUAUUCGAUGUGACAUGAAUUUUAGUCCGGACUAAAGAUCCAAACACCCUUACUGUUUUCCAACAGUGUCUAAGUGGCCAACAGUGAUUUAGCUAAGUACAAAAGCUGUGGGUAAGGAGUUUGUGGGGGAUUACGUUAUUGGCGAUUACAAAAAGUAUAGGCAAAGAUGAAAAAUUAUACUACCAACACUAUUAGCCACUUAUAAAAGCAAUGCUAAUAAUGGUGCUAACACUGUUGGAUUUGGACACAUCAAAAACCUGUAGAGAAAGACGUAGAUUUUUGCAGUGAAAUCUACGUAAUAUAAUGAGCUUGUCCCUCUCAGUUCCUCAGCGGCUCAACGGCUUUCGAAUCAAUCAAAUGCUGGGGUCAAUCCAGUCUCAGACUCUCAUGGGACGCAAGCAUGACGCACUUCCAGAUAUUUUUUUUUUUGAAAAAUCCCCCUUGCAGAUUUGUAAUUACGUCGGAUUCAUCCAGUCAUCAGUUGAGAGACUCACGCAGCUGCCCAUUCCGAAGAAAAGAGUCACGUCAGCCGGCCGGCCUUGCCUCCCUGCAGCACCAGCAUUGCGUUGUUGUUGUUGGAUAGCUGAUGGUGAACUUUGCUUGGCCGUCGCCAACACUCAAGCACCUGGAAUUGGACGGUUGCUUUGCUUGGACCCCUACAGGAUUCCUGUCCUGCUACCUUGGUUAGUUUGAUCCUGACGAACAAGCCUGCAGCUCUGAACUGAUGAGCAGCAGAAGCUGUGCAAGGGCGGCAUCGAUCGAUGCAUGACGCAUGGCACUGAUCAUGGCAGAAGGGGAGUGUGUGUGCACACGCUCCUACAAAUCUAUGCUAGAUCUCUAGGUGACGGAAGCGAGCUAGGUAAGGGGCGUGGUGCCCCGGAGAAGUGGCUUUUCUUUUGGCCAUUUGGGGCCAGGCAUGGUGCGUUUCUGAGUCCAUCUGACUGCAUGUGCAGAGAGAGGAGUGAGAGUCACUGCUCCUGUUCUCUCUGAACCUUGAGGGUGGCGUGAUGCAAAUAUCCUAUAGGAUAGCAAUGCCCUUGCUGUCCUUGUUUUUUCCCCUCAUCCUUCUUCCUCUUUGAAAAAAAAAAUAGUGAAUUGCAAAAGUUUUAGAUAUUGGCAUAGUAGUUUGACUUUUAAAAAUAGCUUCUACAUGCCUUUUACUUUAACGAAGAACAUUGUACUUCGUACCUUUCCUUUACCGGAAAAGCUUGCUUUACUUUGCCAAUGAAUACUAGAUAUCUCUUUUUUAAAUAAAAUGGACGAGACACCCCCAUUUACAACUUGUAACUACACCCAAAAGGAUACCAUACUAUGCCCCAUGUCUAUAGUUUUUGCGUUUCUCUAAAAACAAGCCUAGAAGUUUGGAGAACUAAUCACUAUCCAGUUGCUGGAUGCAGAAUGAUUGGAAAUUUGGAAGCAUCGUAGGCUAAAACUUUUUCCCCAGCUGAAGGAGAAAAAUCUACGGAAUUUCUAAAUGUCACCCGGUUGAUUUUGAUGCAUGUUGUCAAUCACUUUUGGCGGCUGUGAUCAUUUCAAGAUUCACACUGUUUGAUAAGUUCAGUUACUCAGUGCUUCGCUUCAUUCUUUUCUUGAAUCUCUCUUACUUUUUAUUGAUUUUGUUAUUUGUUUUCAAUCAGUUUUCUUUGGACCUGUCUCUGUUCUACAUUUGGUUGGAAAAUUAUGGUUGGAUCAUUCAGUUUUCCAUCUCUUGAAUAUGGCAUGUCAGUACACCAUUGGAUUGAAUACGGCUUUCGGGGGGAAAAACUUCUUGGGCCUUUAAAAAAUCUGGCAGCACAUCUAAAAAGGACGACAAGGAAGGCUUUGUUUCCUUCCCACCACGCUGAUGGGCCAUGGGCCAUCAUCAGGCUCUCGCCUAAAAAUAGAGCCCACAACGGUACAUGCAACCCCUGCUUAAUGCGUGUCAGUAAACAUGUCUUCCGGCAAGUCCUGAGAGCCUCCCAUUCCCAUUGCUCAUUAUUAGGUUCCGUCCUUUUUCUCUCUCUCUCUGUAAUAUAAAUAAAUAGCGCGCUUGAUCGUCGUCGCUUUCUCUCAUAAAAGAGAGAAAAGGCAACGGGGGCCAGGAACAGGGACGACUAGAUCUUCACCGUCGAAUCGUCAUCAGAUGGCACGAGUUGCAUCCAGCUGCGCUGCCAUCCUGGCACAAAGGUGAAGAAACUGCAUACUACACAAUGCACAACCCUUUGAUGAUGCAAUAACAUCAUCAACCAUUCGUUCAGGAGGAUGCUCUCUGCUGCGGCGGUGACGGUCGCGGAGGAGUCUACGAAGAAGGCGGGGGAGACGGCGGUGAAGCUGGGCACGGUGGCCAAGGACAUUGCCAGCGCCAUGGCGACCACGACGGAGGAGAAGACGGCGUUCUGGGAGCCGGACCCAGAGACCGGGUUCUACCGGCCAGUGACCGGCACCAAGGAGGUGGACGCCGCUGACCUGCGCGCCGAGAUGCUCAAGCAGAGGAUGCUGCAAGACUGAUGACCUCAUUCCACUGGUGGAAAAGUGAGCAUUAAUCCCGGUUGGAUAGCCUCAUAUAUAUCGAAUAUCCAACCAGGACUAAUUUUUCGAGACUAAAGGUACCCCUCUUUAGUCCCGGAUCACUCACCCGGGAUUAAAGAUCCUCUUUAGUCGUGGUGGCCCCUUUAGUCCCGGUUGGUAAUCGGGACUAAACACUUUUUUUUGUUUUUACAUUGAACUCUUUUUCAUAUUAAUGCUAAUUGUUGCUUCACUUAUAUACAUACCUAUACAUAUACAUUCUUAGCGUACACUACUUACACAUAUUACACAUAUUGUAUGCAUGUCGUAUAUAUAUUUCGUGAUAGUAUAUGCAUAAUAUUAAUUAUAACUACUAUAUAUAUACAAUUCUUAGUAUUUAUACACAUCAAACUAGUGUUUAUACAAUUACUAUAUAUACAAUAAUUUGUCCUCUUCAUUCUUAGGAUCCUCCUGUCAUGGUGUUGCUCGGUUCGGCUAUUGAAUGUCCAUCAUAAUAAAAUUCUCCAAUGGGAUUUAUCAUCUUGUCCACCAGAAAUCCUAUGAGAGCUUCUUGGGUUGCCAAAAGCCUCUCCUUCUCCAAGAGUUCUUCUGUAAUAUGCAUCAUCUGUAAUUUGAAAAUAUGUGAAUGUUACAUAACAAUUUAAUAUAAGUUAGAAAAGGAUUAAUUAUUAAUAGAUUUUUUACGUACAGUUAUAUUGUCCGAUAUCACCUUGUCCCUCAUGAAAUGGUACUUGUGCUCAUAGACGUAGUAUCCACAUAAAUUAUUCCAUUCUUCCUGUAUUAAGCACUUUAGUGGGAAAAAACAAGUUAUGAAAUAUUCAUGUACAAAAUGUGCAAACUUCAUACGUACCAAGAACGUUGUACUGAAUGUAAAUUUUUCUUUGAAAUCACCAUGGUGAUGCUUACGAAAUCGUUUCCAUGCGCUGUGAAUUAAAAUAAUGAAUGAUACAGUGUUAGGUGAAAAUUUAGGAAUCAAACUUUUGCAUAGGGAUAAAGGUCCAGAAUUAUUACAAGUUAAGCAUGUCUUAAAUGUCUUGGUACUCGUCCUUUGGUUUCCUCAACGAAUCAAACACAAUAACAUUGCUUUGAUCAAUCAUAAUUAUAAGGAGAAUUGAGUGGAAACUGCAAACAUAAAUGUUCAUAUUAGAACUAACUAACAUUAAUUAGGUAUGGAAAAGGAAAACAAAAAUAGAUGGUACCCACACUUACUUAAAGUUGUAAGGCAGUAGUAUGUAUUGUUUGUAAUUCUGUUGCUCUAAGAAUUUGUAUAUUCGGUCCAAUGUAUCCUUUGGGUGAUCCCAAAUCUGAUCUUGGUUAACAAGCGUUGUGUCGGUGCACAAUCUAGCCGACAAGUAAAUAUUUGUAGUUUUGCCGUGCAGGAUAUGGCCUAGCACACAAUGACACAGGGUGUAUACUAGUUCGGGCAAUGUGCCCUUCUUCCAGUCAGGAUCAGUCGGUCAACUUUAUUUCUGAGCCCAGGUACUCAAAGUUUGCAGUGGGAGUACAAAUGAGAGGAGGAUGAGAGGGGGUGCCUUGGCCUUGUUCUCAUCUCAGUGGAAGAGAGUGGCAGGAGCUCAAACGUAUGCUAAGUGUGUGAGAGUGUGAAAGCGUAAGAGUGUAAGAACGUAAGAGUGCGCAAGUCGUAGAGGUGGAGGGUUCGUCCCCUUUUAUAUUACAAGGGAACGGCCUUACAGGUCAGAAAGGAUAAGGGAGUGAAUGUACGGGCCCUACCUAGUCUUGUCGAAGUCCAUGUCAUCUGGUGCGGUAUGGCCUCUGUCCUCGGUCCCUGUUCUCCUUGUCAUGCCACUCCGUCAUAGCGAGUAGGUUUACGGCGGUACUGUACAGGCGUGCGUAGGGCAUGGCAUGGGACGGUUCUGCGUACGACCGGCUAGCCCGGGUGCUUCCUCGUUAUCCGUCCCACCUGCUCCCUAGGCCCACACUGAGUGGGUGUCCCCGGUUGGUUGUCUUAGUCGGCCCCGACCGAGUCAGUCGGGAGGGAGCGGUACAGGUGGUACGGCGUAUCCUAAGUCGGGAGGACUCAGUCGGGAGUACCCGGUCAGGAGAGCUCAGUUGGGAGAACUCAAUCGGGGUUAGACUGUGGUCCCACACUAGCUAGCUCUUUCCAACUAGGCUUCCUGGUCGAAGGAGUCGGCUGGUGGCCAGAUCAUGGUCUCGGCCUGGUUACGUGUAGUUGGGCUUGCCUUAUGUGUGUUGUUGUUGUGCCCUUUGUUGGGCCAAGUGUCGCGGAAAGACGGUCCCGUUGGGGACCCCGGGUCUAUGGACCCGUCACGUUGGGUUCAUGAAGCCAACGUUAAAGUACAAUUCUUGGCGGCACCUCUGAAUUUGUAUCCUACAUAAAAUGAAAGACAAAGUUAGUAGGGCAACACACACACAAAAUAAUGAUAUGAGCUAAAAUUAACAUCUAAUAAACACACACUUUUCAGAACCCUAGCACUGAUGAGAGAGACAUCAAGGGCAUCUUGAUGGUACACUUUAUAAAUAUCCUUGAAUUCCAACCACAUCAGUUUCUCACCUUCACCGAAAAAAUCAAUUGGUUUAACAAGAAGAGCAAACAUGACCCUUUCCUUGACCGACUGCUCCAUGUACCACUGGUAGAAUUCAUAGAUCUUAGUUGAGAGCUUAUGUACCAAUUCAGGCCUGACUAGAGGCUUGCCUAACUCAAAGGGCCAUUUAAGUUCACUCUUUCUAGAGGUGGCGGUUUGACUCGCCCUAGAACUUCAGCAAGCAAGAGACCCAUGUCUUCCAUAAACUUAAUGGCCUGGAUUUGUUGUUGUAAAGGCAAAUCUACAAAAGUUUGUUGAUCUUGAUCCCCAAGCUGGGGGACAGUAUGACUGGACGAUGACUCUCCUUAUUUUUUUUUCUUCUGAUAAGACUUAACUAACGAACGAUCGUAGUUCGAUAGUAACUCUUCUUGAGUUCUUUUUUCAUGCCGAUAAAAAAACUUUAAUUUAGCUGGAUUUGCUAGCUUAGGCUCCAUCUCCUUCGCUUUUCUUUCUGCAGAGAUUUUUUCAAACCACUCGCUUACAUGUGCUUGCGAUGCCUCCUCCAAUUCCUCAGGAGUCAUAUCGCCUACUAGCUUCUUAAUAGGUUCAGACUUCUUUUUUUCUUCCUCAGUUCUUUCGCCUUUGGUUGCUUUAGCUUGGAAGGCAGUGGUCGCGACUUCUUUCGCCACUCGGCGAUUAUUUUUUUCCUGCAUUCUUACAUCUUGUUCAUGCACUUUAGCUUCUAACAUAUGCUGUCACCUCUCCUCUUACUGUUUCUUUCUUCUCUUCUAGCUUCUAUACGUGUCGAUGUUCCUGGAAAGCAUACUUCCACGGAACCACACCGAAGCCUCGGCAACAUCCUGGGUGUUCAGGAUUUCUCAUCAUUCUCUCUAUCAAGCUUGAACUUUUCUGCUUUCGAAUGUUCAAUAUUUUUGAUAAGCCUAAGGGCGUUCUCACGUAUUGUUUCAUUGAAAACAAGUGUCCCAUCCUCAAGGCUAAGGGUGCCUCUGUGAGCGUAAUACCAAUUCUUCGAUCGAUCCGGCCAGUCAUUAGUCGCCGUUACGAUACCUCAAUCAAGUAGGUCUUAUUCUAUCUUUCUCCAUCUGGGAAUUGCACUCCUGUAACCACCUUGCACUAGACGAUGAUGGUACCCCUUUUGACGGGCAUUUCUUGUCUUGAUCUUAACCUUGUUCGCACUAUCUUCACUCCUCUUGUAUUCCAUAAAUGAGUUCCAGUGAUCUCUUAACUUUGGCCGGUCAUUAAAAUCUGGAGUUCGGCCCUUCUUAAUAUAGUUGGUAUCCAGAUUCUUUUUGAAGGUCUGAAAUUGGGUUGCUAGCUUCUUGAGCGUCCAGUCUUUCACUAAUUUUUCAUCGAUGUCGUCAGGAAGUGUGAAGUAUUUCUUGACAUCUGCCCAUAACAUAUCUUUCUGUGUCUGCGGGAGCAUGUAUGGAUCAUCUUUUUUACUGGACUUCCAUUCUCGAAUGCUAAUGGGCACGUUGUCCCUCACAAUAGCCUCGUAUUGACUCACGAACUUUCUAGCGACUUUUUCGGGAGCAAUUAGCUAGCCCUCUUCUGUCACUUUGGUAAUAUGAAUCCUUUCCUCCAUUAUUUGUGUACAACCUCACGGCUUCUUUCGUGUUAACGAUCCAGAGGGCUAAAAGUUGAAGAUUCAUUAAUUAGUACAUAGUAAUAAUCAACAUGAAGUUAUAGAUGUGGUAAAACAAUGAAAAUGAUAUAUACCUCGCUGGAACCUUCCAUCAUGCUAAUGUCUUGUUCCGCAUUGUUAUCAACAUCGUGCUCGUGCUCACCAUUGCCAUCACUCGACAUGAUAAGGGACAUGUCCGCAUGGCUACCCUCAUCCUUGGUGUAGGUUCUUGGAAAGUUUGAGCCAUUACCACCAGCAAUAAUCUACUCCAUUAUAUACCCUUGUCCUCUUCGUCUCCCAACAAAACUAAUAAUGACAUUAGUUAUACGCACACAUAAUUAUAGAUACAUUAAAUUAAAGAUUGUACAAUAAAUGUAUAUACAUGAAAUCAUACUAAUUUGUACUAAUUUCUAAGCAUUUAUAGUGAUUUCUACUAAUUUCCUAAGCAAUUAUAACAAUUUUUCAAAGCAUUUAUACUAAUUUGUACUAGUUUCCAAAGCAUUUAUAGUGACUUCUACUAAUUUCCUAAGAAUUUAUAAUGAUUUCUACUAAUUUCCUAAGCAUUUAUACUAUUUUGUAAUAAUUUCCAUGAAUUUUCUACGGCAUUUGCACAAAUUUUAAUUCUAGUAUAUUGAGCGUUUUUCUAAGCACUUAUACUUAAUUUAUACUAUUUUUCUAAUUUAUAUAGCUUUUUAGUAUUUAAACUAAUUUAUACAGUUUUUAUGGAUUUUCUAUGGAUUUAUUCUAUGGAUUUUAGUAUAUACUAAUUUUCUAUGGAUUUAUUCUAAUUUAUACAAUUCUUCUAAGUUAUCUAAUUUGCUAUUCUAAUGUUCUAUGAAAUAAAAAACGAGGCUUAAGUCAGCAAGCUGCGGUUGGAAGCGGCGCGCACGUACUUCGUCGCAGGGGGGUGCCUGUCGGGCAUACUCCCCAGGUCCACGAGUAGGCCUUGGACAGCCCACCAAGGGACGUACUCGGGCAAGAUCAGAACAAGGAUGGGCGUAUCCUUCUCGGAUUAGUCUUGUAUGUUUAUGGAAAACUACUUGGGCCAAUACCGAGUAGAACUCUGUAAUAGUACCCGACUAGGACUCAGACUUGUAACCCUACCCUCCCGUGUAUAUAAGGCCGGGCAUGGACCCCCCUCAAGACAUCUCUCUCAAGAUCAAAGUAAACAUCAAUACAAACCAACACACAGGACGUAGGGUAUUACGCGAUCUAGCGGCCCGAACCUGUCUAAAUCAUGUUCCUUGCGUCACCAUUGAUUCCUUGAUUCUCGACGACCCUUACCGCACAAAAGACCACCUAGGGUACCCCCUGGGCGGGUUGCCGGUCUAAAACACCGACAACUGGCGCGCCAGGUAGGGGAGCGCGUCGAGUUUCUCAGCGCGAACUCAAUGGCAAAGAUCAUCACCAGGCUCGUCUUCCUCAUCGAAGCCGGCGCCACCUUCGUUUUUGGAUCCUGGCUUUGCGUCGCUGAAGGCUCGGGAUCGUUCCGACGCCAGAUCAUUGACAUUCAGGAAAAGAAACCAGAAGAUUUGACUAGGAAAAAUCAAGAUUUCAAAGUCAACGAGUUUGAGUUCGACUAUGCGUCAGACUCGACUUCGCCUCGGACUACUCCAACCUUCCGCUUAGGAGUCGGGCACUCCCGACCCCAGGACUCAGGGUCGGGCGAGGCGGAGCUUCACUCAGGGUCGGGCGAGGCGGAGCUACUCCUCCAAAGGGUCGGGCUCAGCCGACCCCAGGACUCAGGGUCGGACUCGCUUCGGAUUCGACGGCCCCAGUCAGCAUCCAAAUCGGUUUCGACUUCAACGCGGUUCCCGUACGGACUCCGCAACGCAACCAAAGUCCACCAAGGUUUUCUUGCUCAAACCAGAGUCAAACUUGGGCAUGACGAAGAUGUUGACUCCGACUCAUCCUACUCACCAGAGAUACCGUUAUCUGGUCCAGCCCAAGGGUUGGUAAUAACUUCGACAUCUCAAGGCAGAUUCAUCCACUGGCCGGGAUUGCGACCCUCUCUUCUCGACCGUAACCAUGACUCACGCCUUGUCGACAAACUCGCACUCAGGGAGAUCAUGGCCAUCGAGCCGAUGGACCCCACACCGUUAAAAUGGUCGGAAGUUCCAAUUUCUUUCAGCAGAAAAGAUCAAUGGACAAAAUUUUCAGAACCAGGCCGUUUCCCACUAGUCCUGGAUCCAAUUGUGGCAGGUUCAAAGUUAACGAAAGUACUCAUCGACGGCGGAAGCGGCCUCAACGUUAUCUUCGCCAAGACAUUAAGGAAAAUGUGCCUCGAUGUCACUGAAAUGCUUACCCCAACGGAUUCACCUUUCUACGGCAUUGUGCCCGGAAACGCGGCUAUACCACUGGGACAAGUUGUCCUUCCAGUCACCUUUGGAACUAAGGAACAUUACCGCACCGAGUAACUAAGGGAUGAGCGCGUCGGCGGAUGGCGAGGUGGCGGGCCGGUGUGCGGGGCCGGGGGACAGCGCCAAUGGAGCUCGAUUCGGCUGGUAGCGGCGCACAGUGGUCGGCGGCGGCGUCGGGGGUGGCUAUCUACGACGCCGGGCCGGGAAGGAGGGCGCCGCCGGGGAGGGCCGGAGUGCUGCUGCCAAGGGUGCUGGAGGCAUCGUCGAGGAGCCAGGGGAGGCGUCGGGGUGGUGCCGCGGAGAAGACACCGGUCGGAACAACGAUGAGGUCAAGGGGGACACCCGCAGAGGAGAUGAUGGUGGUGUCGGUUGUGAUACGGGCAACAGAGGUGACAAGGAUCGUGAAAUCGGCUAAGUCUUGAGGAGGAGGGAAGGGCUUGGAUAUUUAUACUCCCACCCGUUUAGUCCCAGUUGGUAGUACCACUUGGGACUAAAGGGUAUUUAGUCCUGUGUGGUAUUACCAACCCGGACUAAAGGGUCCCUCCCUUUGCCUUCCCCGCGCAAAUCCUUUUAUUUAAACAAUCAGUUUACUAAUAAUGCUACAAAUUUUAUAAAUAUGUAAUAAUUGUACCAGAGUAGAUGAGAUGUUGAAUAAUUUUUUUAAUUACUAUUUUUAAGAUGUAAUAAAAAACAAUACUAAACUAUAAUUCUUAAUAUGUUUUAAGUUGAUUUAAUACUUUUGCUUAAUCAAGAAAAAACCAAAAAAAAUCAAUGUUUUAAACAUGCAAAAAUGUAUCAAUUAGCUUACGUGAUGAAGUUAAUAUAUUGACCAUAUGAUAUUUUUUAACCUUUUUAUUGUUGUUUAUAUCGAUCAAAUAAUCAUGUGUUGAGCUAAAAACUCUCAUAAAGAAUGAUGAUAUAUAGUCCAUUACAUGAGUGAGUUUUACACAUCAAUAAAAUAUAAUAGAAAGGUUCUGAUGACCAUAGAGCAUUACAAUAUAACGUUAAAAAACUUCUUCUUGACGAAAGUUCCUUGAUCAUGAUUGCGGCAUAAGUACGGAGCCUCUUCUUUGGCUAGCAUGAUGCUUGGGUCAACUUCGAUAGCGAAUGGAGGCAUGCCAUCAAACUGAUCAUAAUCAUCUAACUGAUCUAUUUUAUCCUCAACUCCCACAAUUACUCUUUUACCUGGAAGAACUAUAUGGCGCUUUGGCUCCCAUGGUUUUUCUUUAUCUUCUGAAUUAUUCUUGGGUUUGCUAGACAUGUCGUUCACAAAGAAAACUUGAUGCACAUUAUUGGCAAGGACGAAUGGUUCAUCUUUGUGUCCAAUCUUGCUCAGGUCCACUAUUGUCAUUCCAUAUUGAUCUUUCGUUACGCCACCUCCAGUCAGCUUCACCUAUUAGCAAUGAAACAAAGGGAUGUUCAGCGGUCCGUAGUCGACUUCCCAGAUCACCUCUAUGAAACCAUAAUAUAAGUUCUUGCUCCCGUUGCUGUCUAUGGCAUCUGUACGAACACCACUAUUUUGGUUGGUGCGUUUUUUAUCUUGGGCUCUUGUGUAAAAUGUAUAAUCAUUUAUCUCAUAACCUUGGAAUUUCAUGAUUUUCCUAGAAGGUCACUUGGGUAACCAAGUGAGUUGUUUGUGAAUCGUGGAGUUACCCAUAAGGUGUUGAUGCAAUCAAGAGGGAAAAGUAUCCAUGUGAUGACGUAUAAUCUAGGCAUCGGAUUUCGUCAGGUAUUGGGAAAAUAGAAUCUACUUGUGUUCCUUAAUAUACAGAGCCACCAAGGAUGAUUGUUGCAGAAUCGUGAAGUGUGCUUUCUGAACAAAUCACUAUUAGUGCUCAAACCUGAUUUCCUUCCAAAGGUGCCAUUUCCCUGUUGUCUCCCCUCAUGGCGUGAUACUGGAACCCCAAUAAAAUCAACACAAAACUCAAUGGCCUCCUCUAUUCCAAAUCCCUUGGAGAUGCUUCCUUCUGGACGGGCACGAUUAAGAACAUAGUUUUUUAAGGACUAACAUGAAUCUCUUGAAAGGCCACAUAUUGUGCAGGAUUACUGGACCUAGAAUAGUAAUCUUUUUGACUAGGUGAACCAGGAGGUGCGUCAUAAUAUUGAAGAAGGAUGGUGAAAAUAUCAACUCAAAGCUGACAUCAUUUUGUAGCUUUAGUAGCUUGGUUGGAUCGAUUCAAUUCUACGAAAUUGCAUUGAGAAAGACGCAUAGCUUUACGAGCGCCAAUCGUACAUUUCCUAGUUGAAUACCCCUAAGUGCAACUGGAAGCAACUGGAUCAUCAACAUGUGGUAGCCGUGGGCCUUUUGAUUUGUGAACUUCUUUUCUUUCAUAUUAAUUAUUCCCUUUAUAUUCGAGGAGUACCCAACCCAGAUAGAACCUUGAUACUUUUCAUGCAAUCAAACAUGCUAUCCUUCUCUUCCUUGCUGAGAGUGUAACUGGUAGGACGUAAGUAGUGUUGUCCUUUAUCUCUCUUUUCCGGAUGUAGGUUAUCUCAUUGCUUCAUACAUUUUAGGUCCUGUCAUGCUUCCAAUGUAUCUUUUGAGUUCCCAUAACAACCCAGAAAGCCUAGCACGUUCACGCAAAGAUUCUUCAUCAGGUGCAUCAUGUCAAUUGCGUUGCGAACCUCUAGGAUUUUCCAAUAAGGUAGCUCCCAAAAUAUAGAUUUCUUCUUCCACAUGGGUGCAUAUCCGUUAUCAUUGUUUGGAACAGGUUCUCUACCAAGACCCUUUCCAAAGACUACCCUUACAUCAUUUAUAAUCUAAAAUAUAUGCUUUCUAUCAUGGUGUGCAGGUUGUUUGCGAUGGUCUACCGCCCCUUUGAAAUACAUCCCUUUUCUUUCUUAACGAGUGGUUAGCAGGAAGAAAUCGACAAUGACCCAUAUACAUGACAUUCCUACAGUGUUUCAAAUACAUGUUGUCUAUGUCAUCUAAAUAGUGGCUGCAGGCCCAAUAUACCUUGUUUGUCUGUCCUGAAAGGUUACUCAGCGCAGGCCAAUCAUUGAUGGUUAUAAACAACAAUGCUCAAUGGUCAAAGCUCUCUUGUCUAUCCUCAUCCCACGCACGUACAUCUUCUUCCUUCCAGAGCAGUAAAAGUUCAUCAACCAACGGUCUUAGGUACACAACAAUGUCAUUGUCGGGUUGUUUUGGGCCUUGGAUAAGCACCAGCAUCAUAAUGAACUUCCACUUCAUGUACAGCUAAAGAGGAAGGUUGAACAUACAUAAGGUCAUAGGCCAAGUACUAUGACCACUACUCAACUCACCGAAUGGAUUGAAUUCAUCAGUACUUAAACCAAACCUUAUGUUCCUUGCAUCCCUUUCAGGUUCGAGAAUGCUCUAUCAACUAAUCUCCACUUGGCCCCAUCAGCAGGGUGUCUCAGCGUGCCAUCCUGCUUAUGUUCUUCUUUGUGCCAUCGCAUCAACUUAGCAUUCGCCUUAUUUCUGAACAAACGCUUCAAACGUGGUAUUAUAGGGAAAUACCACAUCACCUUCGCGGGAACUCUCUUCUUGGGAGGCUGCCCCUCAACAUCACGUGGAUCAUCUCACCUGAUCCUAUACUGCAGCGCUCCGCACACAGGACAAACAUCCAAUUUCUCGUAUUCAUCACCACGAUAGAGGAUACAAUCAUUAGGGCAUAUGUGUAUCUUUCGAACCUCCAAUCCUAGAGGGAAAACAACCUAUUUAGCUUCAUAUGUUGUGGACGAAAAUUCAUUAUUCUCGGGAAGCAUGUUCUUUACAAUUUUCAAUAUCCCCUGAAAUGCCUUAUCGGACACACCAUUUUUUGCCUUUCAUUGCAACAUUUCCAGUAUGGAACCCAUUUUUUUAUGCCCCUUCUUGCAAUCUAGGUACAACAAUUUUUUGUGAUCAUUUAUCAUACGCUGCAAUUUUUCUAAUUCUUUCUCAGUUUUGCAGUUUUUCUGUGCAUCCCAUAGCACCUGACCAAGAUCAUCAGUAGGACCGUCUUCUGCAAAAAUCUUAUUCAUCAACCUCGCCCAUUGUAGUAUCUACAAAGGCUUGGUCUCCAGCUCGGUUCGAAAUAUUGUUAUCAUCCUCCUCUUCUUCGUCGUAUUCCAUUAUAACUCCUCUUUCACCGUGCUUGGUCCAAACCAAAUAGUUAGGCAUGAAACCGUAACUAAACAAGUGGCUGUGAAGAGUCCGCCAGGAAGAGUAAUGUGACAUCCCUAGUAAUUAAGAGACUAAAUCAAAGAAACAUCAAAGUGAAUAAGGAAUAAAUCAAAGCGAAUUCUAAAUGACUAAGUGUUAAACACCUUUGUACUAAAGCUCUUGGGGAGCAAGUAAAAAUAAAUUUUAUAUAAGAACUCAAAUUUUAGCCAAUAUAAAAGUGGUAGAUCUCUUCAAAUUGAGCAUCAUUUGUGCAUAAUUGAGCAUCUUGGCCAUGCAUUGUUAAGUUCACAUAAUUAUUGUUUAUUGUUAAAAUUCAAACUUGUGAAGCAACUCCAAUUUCUACUAUGCAAUUGUGCCUCCUGUUAUUUUAUUUAAAUACUAGAUACAAUUUGGUGAUUUUAUGGUAUUUUUACUUAAUUUUUUGAGUGAUGUUUCCUUGUGUUAAAAUUCAUUUAAGUUUCAAUUUUAGCUGUUUCCUUUUGUCAAUUGUGUGAAAACCUGAGCAGUUCUUGAGGUAAUUCUUGUGGCACUGUGUUGUUUGUGAUUUUAUCUUUCAAAUGAGUAUUUUUAGGAGAUUUUUGGGUGCCUGUAGCUAGGUUGUUUCAGUGGGGAAGGUUGAACUUUUUAAAAUUCGCUGGGCCCACGCGUCAGUCUCCUUCUUCCUCCCUCCCGCGUCUCUCUCGCUGGUUGGAUAGACCGGCGGUGCCCUCCCGUUGGCAAGCACCGGUGGUGCUCCAGGCCGCCGGACACCAGAUUGGCCGACGUGGCCGGCGCCACGCUCCCCCUCGCCUAUUUAAGCUCGACGACGACCCUCCCAGAAUCCUUGCCCCCUUCCUCCCCCACCAUUGCCGCACCAACUCCAAGCUCGGCCGCCUCUGUUCGCUGGCCCAAUUCACCGCCAACGAUGAACCUCUGUUCGAUUCCUCGCGGCCACAGCUUCCCUUCGAGCUCGUGCAUCCGUGUUGCCACUUAUCGGCCGCUCUCUGCCGUGAAGGCACCCCCGCCGGCAAGCUCCUCCCUGUCCGUCGCCUGCCACCAUCCCUAGCGCCUCCCUGCUGCGCUGCCUUCUCCCCGGUGUGGAUCUACUGCUGGUGAGCCCCCUGGCCUCCGUGCGCCGUGCCCUCGCCUCCCCACCGCCGUCGCGCCAUUUUCCCUCGCCACCGCUAGCAGGGCCCCGACCUGCCGAGUGCUGUCGUGCCUGUGUGUGCGUGUGUGUUGUGUGGGAGAAGAAGAGGAAAGAGGGGGGUUAUGGGAAAAAUUUCAGGGAUAUAUAUGUGAGAAAUCUUUAGACUUGAGGGUGGUUUUACAAAAUGAUCUUGGUUUUGAUUUAUUUCCUAGAUUUCAAUAGCUGCAAACUUUGAUAAUGCAUAGAAAUGUGUAGAAAAAUGCUAAAAAUGUGAAUCUUAUUUUGUUGAGUUCCUGAUGACAUCUAGUUUAUUUCCAAAAUGUUUUUUGCAUGUUACUAUUCUGUAUUUGAUGCUAUGUUUUAUUUUGUCUAAAAGUCAUUAAAUGCUUUAUAAAUCAUUUGGUGGCCUAAAAUUUGUGAAACUAAUUUUGUUAACUUCCAUUUAACAUGCAUGUUCCAGAGAUGCAAUUGGUGUUAGUAGAAUCUAUGGUGUUCAUACUAUUUUAAAUCUAAUUGCCUAAUUUUUGUCUUAAUAUUGUUAAUUGCAUGAUAAUUAGUGUAAAAUUGAUAAAAACACAAAAUAAGUUUCGUUAGAUUCUUGAUGCUUAUGUCUGACUAGUAAAAAUACUUGUUCCUGUGAAAUAUGGUUUUUAGUGCUUAAUGAAAAUACAUGUUUAAUCUUCUUAUUGUGGAAUAAAUAGUUCUCAUGCUCCUGAAAUCCUGAUAAAUUCACAGUAGCUUCUGAUAGUGUUGAAAACCAUCCUGUAAAAUUUGUGAAACCAGACUGAUGAUAGAACUCUAGUUAAAAAUUAUUCUUCAUGUUCUGCAAUUUAACAUUGUUUGAUUUUUUUGAUUUUUAGUGAAUUUUGUGGUUGUAAAAUCCAUCUUAAAUUUUUACAAUAGAAUUUUUGUGCAGAGGGAAAGUUCCUGUAAAAAUUUCAUGUUCAUAUCUUAACAUAUCUUAACAGAAGAUUCCUCAAACAUUUAUUCACGUUGAAAGCUAGUUUAAUUAUUAUUAAUAAUUACUAUUAGAACUUGUAAGCUCACAAGUAAUUGUUUGUGCUUUUCAUCAGUAGCAUGAUCACUCCUAAAAAGGUUGAUAAAUAGUACCAAUAUGACACCACCUUUUGUCUUUGGAAUAAUAAGCUUCUAAGUUUAUAUGUGUACACAAUCACCAUCAAAUAAAAUUCAUGUUUUCUUCCUAACCAAUCUUUUUUUGUGAAGAAAAGAAAUGUUACAAACUUUUCUAAGUGAAUGUGGCUAAAAGGAAAGAAAGGUUUAUAAACUUGUCCAAGUGAAUGUGGUAAAAAAACACCCUAUGCUUUUGCAAGGAUUAACUAAAUGAGACCUACAUCAUGAAAGAUUAUAAAUAAAAUCUUAUGCAUAUGCAUCUCGUGUAGAAGCUAACCACGCGGACGGAACUUACGAGCUGGUCCCGGAAGCUGAAGAAGAACACCCGCCUACUGAGCCGAACCUGAUCGAGGUGACCUAAGACCCAAACCUAGAUUCGGAGGAGCCCAAGGCUAACCUAGGACAAGAAGGCAAGUCGCGGAGCACAACCCUGGUUUCCAAAUUAUGCAAUGCUUAUGUUACUUAUAUUUGUGCAUUAAGUUCAUAUGAGUUGCUUGAAACCUUAGUUGCAUGCUUCUAAUACCCACGACUUGAAUACUAGCAUGUUAAGUCGAGUAGUUGCUAUGCUAAAUAGGGACACGGUAAAAGUCGAGUAAUUUCCUGUCACUCGCGAGCUAUAGGAGUUGUAUGUUUACUUAUGUUGGAAUCAUAAGGUUGACGGGCGAGGCUUGGUGCUAUGUUUUGAAAUUGUUGAUGCCCCGUCUGUAUAAAGGAAAACUGCUAAGAUCGAAACGUGUGGGAGUCUUGGUCAAGUGUUUGAACGUACUAAAUACAUGCUAAGAGAAUGGGAAAUCAAUAAGCCUAGUACCUGAUUGAACCAGCAUGGACCUUUACCCCCGCUCUCUCUGGAACUAGUUCCCAUGCGGCCUCAUGUGGGUACAAGUGUGGCCACGGCAUGGCGUCGUUUCGGGGACCAGUGGAGCCUUAUAUCCAAGGGAAGUGGGCUCUAGACAAGCGCCGCAAAUUGAUGGGAACCGUUGAUAUAUGCGAACCCGUCGACGCAUAUGUCGAGUGUUUAGGUCCACCAUACAAGGUUAAGAAAUUUGAUUUGAAUCGUCUGCUUCUUACACUUUGGGACUGCUUGACCGCUUUUCCUGCAUUGAGUAAGAAGGUGAACAAGGAUGAUGCUUAAUAUUGAUGCCUGAUUAAAUUUCUUGUUCUACCAUGCUUGCUUAGAAUAGAUGCUUACCUAGAAUGGUUAAUCAACUAGAACUUGAUGCUAAAACUUAAAAGUAAGGAUCCACUUUAGAAGCUUUGGCAAAAACAAACCCCUUAGUCAAAAAACCUUGCAUGACUAGGAGUCGAUUCAUUAGAUACCACCUGACGGGUAAGUCUUGCAGAGUAUUAGUAUACUCAGCCUUGCUUGUGGCUAUGUUUUUAGGUAAUGAUGUGGAUGACAUGAUUGCUAGUAUGACUUGGCCGUACCAGCUCCCUCCGGGAUGGACGGUUGAGUGGGAUCCAUCCUCGGUGGGCGAGGACCGAGGUGAGUGAUAUCAUGAACGACUUCACCAUAGUAUCGUGCAUCGACGUUAGAACUAUCGCUUAUUUUCCGCUGCAAUUGAACUCUGAACACUUUUAUGAUUUGAACUCUGAACUACUUUAUGCUUUGAAACUUGGUUUGUAAUAAAUUAAUUUGGGACCUCUGUAAUAUUUUAUCUGGAUUGUUGUAAUCUCUGGACUCAUCUUCGUGCGAGUUUUGUAUGCUUGUUUUGAUCGAAAAUACGUGGUUGUAUUGGGUGAAACCUGACAUACUACUAUUUUGAUUCAGUUAAAGGGUCUAUUCACAUUUGAGUUGAUGUUUAGCACACUUUAGCCGGGUUAAUUUGGGUGGUUCUACCGCAAGUAGUCCUUCUUGUUACUACAUUGGAAGCAUAGACAACAUAUGAAUCCCUUUUCUAGCCGGUAGGCUUUGGUCACUUCGAGAAAAUAAUGCAAGCCAUCAACGAAUUUAUUGGUCCGUCUGUUCACGUUGUAAAUCCAUUGCCGGUCCAUUCGCAUCAUAUUACCGGGAAAAUGGGCAUAGGGCUUCAUAUUAGAUAAAGAACGUAGGGGAAAAUAGAAUAAAUAUGUUUAUAAUAUUUAGUCCUUACAAUAAACAUGAAAGAAAUAGAAUUACAGAUAAUUUACACCAAUCAACCUUCAUAAAGAUAAAAAAAUAAUUCACAUGAAACUUGCACCAAUCAACCUUCGUAUCAUUCACUAGGUUGAUAAAAAGAAAAAUGCUAGAAUUUUAGAACAAGACAAUAAAGAUAUAUAUACACUAAAGAUUACAUACGCUCCAUAGUGGACUUCACGAAGCCAAGAAUCCUAAAAUAGUGGACUUCACGGAGCCAAGAAUCCUAAAAUAAUGGUAGAACGAGCAGAAUGUUCGCCCUCCAAGCUAUCUCUGCACAUGACUCAAUCUUCUUCGAAGUGUAUGGAGAGUCACCUCCACUCCUCCAGUACCAGAAAAUAAUGGUAAAACAGAAGAUCUUCGAGUCCACAUACUCUGGUUGAAUAUUAUAAAAGAAUCUUCAAAUAAUAGUCCAAACAUCUUUUGGAGCAAGUGCCAUAUUUUCAUAAUAGAAGUAUGGUGGCACACAAUAGGCUGUCCAGGCAAAACACCUGUUCACUGAGCAUGGCCCAUUUUGGCAAGCCAAAACUAACCAAAAGUUGAUGGGUCAAGGUCAGUGAACAAAUCUUUGCUAGGCUAUUAGACCAUCAUACUUCUAUUAUGAGAAUGUGGCUUCAAAAGUCAUUGGGAAAACUAUUUCAAGAUUCUUUUAUGAUAUUUAGCCAGAGUUGGUGGACUCGAACCUCUUCUGUUCUACCAUUAUUUUUGGAUUCUCUCCAUGAAGUUCACUAUGGAGCGUCUGUAGUCUUUAGUGUAUCUUUGUUGUCCUGUUCCACAAUUCUAGCAUUAAGUUGACGGAUGGAUGGGUUCAUGUCACUCUAAUUUAAGAUGAAAACUAUUUAUUUACCUAACUUUAUUGCAAGGACUAAUUAUUAAAAACAUAUUUACUCUAUUUUUUACCUCAAUUUUAUUGCAAGGACUAUUUAUUUACCUCAAUUUUAUUGCAUGUACUAAAUAUUAAAAACGCAUUUACUCUAUUUUUUCCCAUACCUAAUAUUGAUCGAGUUCUUUAUCUAAUAUGAAUCAUAUACAACAAGCAAGCUAUCUAUCUAUCAAAUUCUAUCUCAAAAAUAUAUAUAAAUAAAAAAUCCUCUCCAUUCUCCCUCAUUCUAAAAGAACUUAUUUUUCUUUAUCUCUAAAGCAUAAUAACAAUAUUGAAGGGAGUAGCUAACCUUUAUAACACUUUGGAUGAGUGAAAUCCCCACGAAAAUGAGGAAAAAAAUCAGAGCAGCACCUCCCUAAGCUUGCUUGCUCGCCAUGGAGAAAGAGCCCGAGCUCUCGGUUUGAUGAGUGGCUCGACCUCGGGGAGGAAGAAGGGGAUUUUUAUAGGACGGGCGUUUAGUCCCGGUUGGAAAAACUAACUGGGACUAAAGGCUUCUCAUUUAGUCCCGGUUGGUAAGCAUUUAGUCCCGGUUGGUUUUUCCAACCGUGACUAAAUGCCCCACCAGAUUCCCCCGUCCAUCCUAGCCGUUACAACCGGGACUAAAGGGGAGCUUUAGUCCUGAUUGAUAUUCUAUCGGAUGUGGCCGUCGGUGGUAGCCAUUUGACCCGGGACUAAAGAUCCUUUAGUCCCGGGUCCAAAAACGGCCGAGACAUUUGUCUAUGGAUGGAAAGUCUCGGGUCCAAAAACGACCAAGACGUUUGUCUCGGGAUGGAAAGUCGUCUCUACCGGUGUUCGUUGGUGCAGUACAGUGCAGGCACGGUCUGUCCCUGGAGAUUACCCCCCUGAAGAUGGCAGUGCCUAUUAUUGGCCAUCUUUAGGGCCCAUUUCGGAGAAAUUUCGUGUAAUUCAUCCAUUUCAGUGUGUACGAACUAAUGUGGUUCGUCCGCAGUUCGUGGAGAAUUCAUGGGUUCAAAGCAUGCCCCAGCACACUUCACAAGAUCUCAAAAGCUCUAUCAGAAUCAGAUAUGCGCUGGGACCAUUUGACAAAAAGAAAAGAUAAGAAAAACAAAGAUGGGAAUUCUGACCCGUAAUUCGUAUGUCACAACAUCCACAGUCGCUUUCUUUGCAUUGCUCAUGUGGUCGUCGGAUUCUGAUGGGCGCAUCAUGCCAACAGCGACAGUGAGACCACAGAAUACCAACACCAAUAGCAGCACUCGACCGGCCUUUCAAUCCACUAUCACGUUGAUUUCAUGGCUGGAAAGUGAACUUUCCACCCACAAGAGAGAACAAACCCAUCUCCUCUACAAGAGAUGAAGAUUGUUGUUCGUUUACACACAUUACUGUGGAGUCGCAUCUUUUGUUGAAAGUGCGGAACCUUACGUGUGAAACCAGUCCAGUUACAUGCCGUCUAAUUUGAACUGUUACUAUGGGAGCUAGUCCAUCCUCGCAGAUAAUAGCGCGAACUGAAUUUGCAAAACGGACUUGAACAAUAUAAGUGUUUUUUUUAGGAAUAUUUGAGGGCCAACUUUACAAUUUGGUUGCAAAUCAUAGCAAACACCUUAACAAUAUAAAUGAGUACAGAACAGAAGAAAGCAAAAACUUGUCCUCUUUAAAUGAUGAUAGUAAUUUAUGACCACAAUUAUGAAGUAGAUCGCCAUCCAUAUUCUAGCUUUACUCAUGCAAUAAACCUAUUUACUGUAUAACUGCAACAGAAACAAUUCAGUCAUUCUGUUUACUUGUAUCAGCAGUCCAGCAGUUCAGUCAUUCUGUUUACUUGUAUCAGCAGUCCAGCAGUUGCCAGACUGAAUGAUGAUGAUGAUGCUUCACAACACAGCUUAACUAAGGGCCCUAACUAAAGAUUGUCUGAAAAUGGAAGUUCAUGGACAUUUAUCUAUGUUGUACUGACAAAAGUUGUUACAGUUGAAAUCCAUGAAUUUUCACUUCGAUGUGCAUAUUUAAAGUCCAGCAAGGGAGGUAUAUUUAAAAUCUUUACCAAGAUGAUCUUGUAUGAGUAUAUGACUGACCCUUCUAUGCUUUGAUUUCUUUGGGAUUGUGAUAGAACAUGAUCCAUUCUUGCUUGCAUUCCAGGUUAACUUACCUUUUCUAAUGUUCGAGCAGAUUGGACACUUAUUCUGAAUUAGUUUCCCAUUGAGGUAACCGUGACCGGCUUUGGAAUCAAGGCACUCAGAUGAUCACAAUCUAACCAGAGUUUUUUCUAUCCUCUGAGCUAACUGAAUUCUGGAACUUCUCAGCGUCUGGAUAUCUUUACUUAUUUCUGUGCUAGUCAAAUAGAUUCAGUCUUGGGCCUACUAGAACUUACAUCAGUACAUGACCAACUUUUAGGUUAAUGUUUCCACGUGUGCAUUCACAAACAAAGAAAUCCACUUUCUAAUGUUCUAUGCAAAAACACAAGCACAUACCAACCAGUGACUAGUCCAACUGGUAGGGCAAUCAUGUUAGUUUGAGUUCCAUCAGGACAUGGCCUCUCAGCUGUAAGCCUUAAGAAUGAAUACAAAAUCAACCGCAGCACUUUUUAAAGAAAACUGACAAAAGAGGAAAACCUAGAAAUCUUAAUUCUGAAAGAAAUCAGAUGAUGCUUCUGAAUAUCAAAAUGUGAAGAUUCUUACUGCACCUACUAAAAAUACAGCAUUAAUCUAAAUCACACAAUCUGACAGUCUAUGGGAAGUCUAGAGAGAAUAAGAGAAAUGAUAAGGAACAAGAAACAUAACUAAGUGAUAAUGACAAACUAGCAAGAAGAGCAGCAGAAAUUACUAUUUAAAAGAUAUAUUUACAGAAUGCUUGAUAGCAAUUAUGGAAGAAUUUUUUUAAUUAUUUUCCAACUUAAGUUAUGUCCUUUUCAUUUUAUAUCUCCUCCCUCUCCCUCUCAAGUUCGAAAGAGCACGAAUUAAUGAACCCUUCAACCGACUACCAAUAUAUCAUAACAGACAAUCAAAGCACACCAUUCAAGCCAUCGGAUUCAACUACCACAACUUCACACACUCAUUCGGUUGCUAUCCACAUGAAGCUGACUUCACAAGGUAAACAGCAUAAUUUCCAAAAGGGAUUCAGAACGUCUCUCUAAACUAGCUAAAACAGUACUCCCUCCGAUCGUAGGUCGUUUUGACUUUUCUAGGUUCAUAGAUAUUAUUAUGCACCUAGACAUACACUAUAUCUAGAUGCAUAAUAAUAUCUAUGAACCUAAACAAGCUAAAACGACCUACAAUUUGGAACGGAUGGAUUACAUGAGACAUGACAUCAGGCUCUUUCUAAACUAGCUAUCCAAUCUCAAAAAAAUUGAGAAGUAAAGAUAGGGAACAUAUUAGGAACUACAGACAUUAGCAAGUGAUAAUUGUGAGCUAGCAAGCAGAGAGCAGCAGAAAUUGCCAUGCCAAAGGUCAUAGUGUUUUUUACUAAGCAAUUCUACUUUCUUAUUGAAGAGAAUUGUAGAUUCCCAAAGGAAGAAAAAUCUAGCUCCUGAAAUUACUCUAGUAACAAUAAUAUGCUCUUGUACAGCAAACAUUACUCUCCUUCUCUCCCUCUCUCAACAGUCCAAAAGUAAAACUCCAUUUCCACCCAAAAUGGCAAACUAACAAGCCUUCAACCAACUACAGAAAAAAAACAAUUAAAGGACACCAUCCAGAGCCGUGGGAUUCAACUACCACGACUUCACAAAGUGUGCUUGGAACAACCUGUGGGCGAAGCAGUAUACAAGGUCUAAAACUUAAAUACACAUCAAUAGAAUUUUUAUCAUCUUUCACAUCAUUAUUUUCCAACUAGAAACAAAAUAAACCUAUCAGUAACUUGAUAUAUUGUUGCAAUGCAAAAUUUUGUAGCAGCUCCCCCUUUUUAGGGGGAAAAAAAGAAGCUGAACUGACUUCUAAAUAUCUCAUUCCCUCUGGAAUCACAGUACCAACAAAAGUGUUGUUCUUGUGAAGUAACAAUUUACUGAUUUAAGCUCGCUCAAAGGCUUCAUUUCUCAUGGAAAUAAGAAACUAAUUAAGUGUACAACGAAACAACCACAACAGACAACUGAAGCACAGCAUCCACAACCAAGGGAUUGAACAACCCCCAAAUAUAGAAACUCAUUCACAUGCAGCAGACAUCACAGGGGAAAGAUUAUAACUUCCAUAGACUUGUAAAUUAAAAGAUCCGAAAGAUCUUAGUUACUUCUCAAGUUGUCCCUAAACUGUCUGAAACAGUUGGCGAUACAUGAAAUCUGAGUCCUGAACUUGCUAUCCCAUCCCACAUCUAAAAGCUGGGACCUUUCAUCCUUCCUCUCUUUAUUAACCCAUCUACUAAGACGUACAUAACUAGCAGUAGCAGCUUACAUAAGUGGCAUCCCUUCAACCUGC
This 55746-nucleotide long non-coding RNA is filed under the name Setaria viridis. RNAcentral describes it as "long non-coding RNA (SVIR_LNC002972)". The record is from RNAcentral. Lineage: Eukaryota; Viridiplantae; Streptophyta; Magnoliopsida; Poales; Poaceae.